This 55444-nucleotide long non-coding RNA is filed under the name Vitis vinifera (wine grape). RNAcentral describes it as "long non-coding RNA (VVIN_LNC001716)". The record is from RNAcentral. Lineage: Eukaryota; Viridiplantae; Streptophyta; Magnoliopsida; Vitales; Vitaceae.
UUUUUUUUUUUUUUUCAUGUAGUUAGUAUGCAUUACUAUGAGAAGAAGAACCAUUUAGUAGUAUGCUUGAUUUCUUUUGAGUUUGAAGCAUCCUUAUUUCUUUUUGUAGUCUAUCUUGGAGUCUCCUUUUGUGCCCCCUUAUUCGGAGACUCCCUUCCACCAUUCCCGUUAUUACUCUGUUCUAGGCUUCAGGAAUUAUCAUACUAGCAGUUUUCUCAGCAGGAUUUUUAGCUAUCUUGUAAUUCUCAUCAAUCCUUUACCCCCUCAUGAUAUUAGUAUUACACAUUCUUAAAAAACAUUUAUUUUAAUUGGUAUUAUCAGAAUAUUUGUUUCUUACAUAACUUCUUUUGGGACAUGAUGAAGAUGUCUGAACAUUGAAACUUAUUAGAACUAUGUAGAUACUUCGGUUAGAAACUGAAACCUAAUCAUGAAGGGAAAAAGGUUUUUAAUACAAUCUUUACAAUCAAAAGGCUAGGGCAUUCAGAUAUUUGGUUUUGGUGCAGGUAAGUCUCAAUGCAAAGCAGUUAAUGUACCGGUUGCUGCAUAGGGAUCCCAAGAAUAGAUUGGGUUCGCGUGAAGGAGCAAAUGAAAUCAAGCGACACCCAUUCUUUCGUGGUGUCAAUUGGGCUCUAGUCCGCUGCAUGGUAAAAUCACAAACCUUAUUACUGCAUGAAGUUUGGAUAAUAUCUCCAAUAUGAAUUUCUAUUAUAUGAUCAAAUUUAAUUGGAACUCCUUUUAGCAAAAGAGGUACAAUUGAUUCAAGGAGGGUAGAAUGGAAGAAACCAUUCAGUAAGAUAGGAUGAGAAGAAACCUUUUCUCCUUCCAAUAUUCUAGAUAUCAUGCACAUGAUCAUUUGGCAUUGUUGAGGUGGUGUGCUAAUGAUUGAUUUUUGGCUCAAUUUAAUCCUUAUUGUCACUGUUGUGUUUCCAAAAAAUAAGCUGAUUUGUACAUUCCGGCAGCCUUGGAGUAUAAUACAAUUUUGCCUGCAAGUGUGAUUAGGUGAAAUGAGUUCUAGUAUUUAGUAUCAAUCAUGGAAGCAGCACAAGGGAAACUUUGAACAUCAAAUGUCAUUUGGUUUCCUGGAAUUGCAGGCAAAUUUUCAUUUAUGGGAAUGAAACCAUUAUGGAAACCGGAGCUACCAUGGAAAAAACUGAAUACUGUCAUUCAUGAAUCUUACAAAUUGCCCUCCACAUAUGCAGUCAUCUCACAGAUAGUAUGAGGAGUGGAAUGAACCCUUUCCAAAUUUAUGUAGAACACAACAAUAUAAUGAUUUGGAACUAUGUUUAAUGCCUCCAAACAUUUACUUUUUUCUCUUUUUGGAAUAAGCACUAAGCAGAAACCAACAGAGCAUGACGGAAGAUGGAUAUUCUUUGUUAUGAAUUUCAGCAGUGUUUUAAAGCUGAAAUCCACAUUUUUGUACAAGCUAACAUUCCUAAAAGAAAAAUUGUUUGUCUCCAUAAGUAUUAGAUAUCCUAGAGCUAUAUAAGAUGAUGUUCUCUACUUUUCAUGCAUGAAUUGUUAUAUUCUGGGUUUAAUGACUACUAUAUUCAUCAAAUUUGCAGAACCCUCCUGAGCUUGAUGCUCCUCCCUUGGAGACAACUGAUGCUGAAAAGGAAGUUAAAUCUGUGGAUCCUGAACUCCUGGAUCUACAAACAAAUAUUUUCUAAGAGGUAACUCUUCCAAAUGAAUACUUUUAUGGGAAACAUGCUCCCUUUAGGAUGAUUGCAAUUUUCCUUUGAGACUUAAAAUUAUCAGCUGCAGAUCUGUGUAAGCAAACUUCAUGUCUCAUCCAGGAAACAUAAUGAGAGGAAGUGGAGAACUCUUCUUGUUGCUGGGUCAAGUAGAACUUUAAUUGGCAUUGCUUGUGUUUCAUCAUCACCAUUUCGCUCCAUAGCUGAGCCUGGGGAGCUGCUUGUAGAAAGAAAUCAGGUUCUCGAUCAAUGUCCUAUGUAAUGUAUGUGUGGUGUGAGGUUCUGUAAUCUUAUGUUGGCUGCAACUCAAAGGUUUUUUCAUUAUUAUAUUAUGUUAAUUUAUUCAUUCAACUCUCCACUUCUCCGUCUCCAUGAUUAAUUUGUUCAUUCAGUCGGUGCCCCACAAUUGUAACAGCAUCGGUUACAAGUUGAAACACAACAUUUAAUUGAAUUCAUGUCUUCAGUAAAUACACAGCAUUUAAGUAUUGAGCUGAAUUUAAAUCCUCCGAGGUUUUCAAAAGCUAAAAUGGGGCCAUCCAAAAUAUAUUUCCCAUGUCACCUUCUCUUGCUUUUGGCAACACCAUGCCCCAUCCCAUGUGGGUACUCUGCAUUCCAACUGUUAAUUGCUUCCAUCAAGGGAGACUAUUUCAACUAUUUUAUCUUUUUCUUUUUGUCUCCCUCUUGCUUUCAUAUUCAGGGAAUCUGGUAGGCAUUUUCUGCUUGAUUGAUUGUCUUCAUGUUGAGCAAUUAGGGAGAAGUUUCCGAGCCCAACAGCCUGCUGAAAUCAUUUUAACUGUCUGCAAUGGUUGCUUUUUCCCCUGCUUCACAAAAUGGGAUCAUGGAUCAGUGGGUAAAAAUGGAAAGCCCAAGAGAACGAUCACCAUAAAUGUCGUGUAGGAGAUGGAUGUUUCAUUAUUUGUUAGUGCAGCAACACCGCAUCCACAUGACUCUGCCAGUGCCAGUCCCUCCCUCUGCACCCCCACCCACCCACCCACAUGACCUUGGCCUGCCUUCCAUUUCACUCCCCAGUCCCCACCCCCCACCAUAAUUCCACAAUUUCAACAGAAAACGAGACUAUGGUCUUCCAAGUUCAAAGUUGAAUCGAUACCCUUUGAAUUUGGAGUCAUGAUCUUCAUUAGCUUUGCACAUCAAGCAAUUCCCUUUCCUUGAGAGGAAAGCCACAUCAUGUUUCACAAUUACAUUUUGGAAUUAUUAUUAUUAUUAUAAUAGAAGGUGUUAAAAGAGGGUAAGAGUAAUGAUGAGGGAAGCACGUGCUGCUUUAGAGUCCCCUCCGUCCUACACACAAGGUGAGAGAUCCAAGCCGCCUCAUCAAUGUUUUCUCCACUUUCUUGGAUUCCCUCAUCUUCCGUCUUCUCUUCCUCUCACUAGAAGCUCUCUACUCAGAGCUUCCAUGGCUUCCGCCUGAACCAUCUGCCUUCUCACUUCAUUUCUCUUCUCUUCUCUUCAAUGGCCGCUGACAACAUUUUGAAAUCUCGCCAAGUUUCCACUAUGAUAAAGCAAGGAUUCAUCUCUGACCCGACCAUCACCUUCUCUCCCUCCAGACCACUUUCUAGGGUUUCUCUCUCUCCUCCUCCUCCCUCUGCUUCCCCCUCCAAGAGUCCAACUCUCUUCGAGAUGAUGUCCGAGGAGCAGAGUCGCGAGUCUAGACACUCCGACGUUGCUCGCCGCAAGUUGCAGGACCAGGUUGCUAGGGUUCUGGCCGACGCUCCCUUUCGGGACCCUGCCUGGGGGGAAUUCGGUGACGUUAAGCUCACGGUGGCCUCGCGCGACGGCUUUAAGGUCUCCAUGGAUGUGCAUCGAAGAGUUCUGGUCGAACAGAGCCGAUUCUUUGCGGAGAAGUUGAGGCGGGACGGCGCCGUGUCGCAUUCGGUGGAGAUUUGUGAUUGUGACGAUGUGGAGAUUUAUGUGGAGACUGUGGUGUUGAUGUAUUGCGAGGAUUUGAGGAAGAGGUUGAUGGGAGAGGAGGUUUCCAAGGUCUUGGGGUUGCUCAAGGUAUAAUUGAUUUCAUUUCUCGCUCCUUUUCCUUUCCUUCCUUUGCUUUUCUUGCGUUCUUUCCACGCAUUCCUAAGAGAAUUAAGAAAAAAGAAGGAAAGGGAAAUUAGAUCAAAUACGCAGAUUUUGAGAUAUGGAAAAAUCUGUGGUUCAAUAAUUCAACAUCUCUUGUUUUUCUCGGGAACCAAAAGCAUUAGUGGUUCUUUUACUGUUUGAGUUAAGUUACUUGGGCUAUGGAUGUUAAGAUUAGGAUUUUCUGAUUUCAGCGAAGGCAAUUCGGUUUGAUCUGUGGAUAUUUUGUUAUAAUUUCUUUAGAAUAAGGUUUUGAUCUUUCAUUUUUGAACCUAGGAUUCAAUUUUAUUUUUCUUGGAAUCCUUUUGUUUGUAAGUAAAGGGAGGACCAAAAAAUUGUUUUACGUUGUUGGUUAAUUAAAUGAAUCAUGAUCUAUUUCAUGAUUUGAAACUUGAAUAGAUCUAUCAACAAAAAGAAUGGAAAAACCAUUGUUUCUCUUUAGUAUUUUUUUUCCCACUUCACUCUACCAUGGAAUUCUUUGUAUAUUAGCGUUAUGUUGUAGGUACCUGUCGCGAUCAUGUUUGAUACAGGGAUCAUCUCAUGAUUAGGGAAUUGGAAACCAUUGUUUUCCACCUUGCUUUGCCGUGAUGAGAUGUUUGUAAUAUCAGUGUUAUGUUGUAGGUAUCUGCUGCAAUCAUGUUUGAUGCGGGCAUCAUCUCAUGCUUAGAGUUUUUGGAAGCUGUUCCAUGGUCCGAGGAUGAAGAGGAGAAAGUUGUAUCUCAUCUUGGUCAACUUCAGCUUCAUGACUCGGUGGCUGAAGUUCUCCAGAGAGUAUCAGCUGAACCAUCUACAUCUACGAGGCCAGAUGACAUCUUCUUGAGGCUAUUGACAGGUAUUUUACAAGCCAAGGAUGAUAAAGCCCGCCGAGAAAUGAAAACUCUGAUUUCUCGGUUGCUUAGAGAUGAAGCACCCGACAACAGUGAUAGGCAUGAUGUCUCUAAAGAUACCCUCUAUCAUCUAUGUCAUAGAUGUCUGAGUUCCCUUGUCCUUUGCUUAUCUGAAGCUACAUGCACGGAUGAAAGCAUACGGGAUCGAGGGGCUAUAAUGAGUGAGAUAGCUCGUGAAGCUGACAAUAUGCAGUGGAUUGUCAAUAUUCUAAUUGAUAAAAAAAUGGGUGAAGAUUUUGUGAAACUAUGGGCAGAUCAGAAGGAGCUGGCUGUUCUUCAUUCCAAGAUUCCCACCAUGUACAGGCACGAAAUCAGUAAAAUUACUGCACAGCUGUGUAUUGCCAUUGGAAGAGGACAUCUUUUGGUGCCUAAAGAUACCCGUUUCUCUUUGCUAUCCACAUGGUUGGAAGCUCUCUAUGAGGACUUUGCGUGGAUGAGGAGGGCUUGCAGGUCUGUUGACAAGAAAUUAGUUGAGGAUGGGCUGAGCCAGACCAUUCUUACAUUGCCAUUGCCACAGCAACAAGCUAUCUUGUUGACUUGGUUUGAUCGAUUUCUUAAUAAGGGUGAUGACUGUCCCAAUAUUCAGAGAGCGUUUGAGGUUUGGUGGAGAAGAGCCUUCAUCAGACAGUAUGUGUCAGAGCAUGAUAAUUCUCAAUUGCAGAUUACCGUCUGUGAUUAUCCAAACUGAAUGGUCAUUUACCAUGUCAAAUAAUCGAAGCCAAGAUGUACAUAUCAAGUGAGGUUCCUUUUGUAUCUUUUGCUUAAAAUCAUUUGAUUUUUUUUUGGUCAGUUUGAAUCUUUUAGAUAUAGAUCUCCGUGACAAAAAUGAUGUACCAGACAAAGGACUUGGAGAGUGCUGGAAUUUGUAAGGAUGUACCAGACAAAGGACAUGCAUUUGGAGGAAUAUAAUAAGGCGUCUCCCCAAGACGGUCUGAUUAUAAUGAGUUUCUAUUUGAAAAAGAGUUGGUAGGAACAGUGGAGAUUUGCGAGGAUUGGUUCUUCUGAAUAUGCUAUGCCAGGGUGGGGGAGACAGGGAUUGCAUUAUAUGAUUCAGGUAUGACUAAUCUUGUAAUAGAAGGAUGGGCUUGUAUUUUUAGAGGCAUAUUGUGUAGGUAGGGUAAGUCACUCUUCUCCUAAGACCUUGGGAACAAAGGAGGACAUGGUCAUUAUUUCUCUUUCUAUGCUUCUUAAGGAAUGUGUGGUUUUUGUGGGUGGCGUGUUUGAGGUUUCUGUUAAUCUGUCAAAUGUGUCCACAUCGAAUAUAGGUUUGCUCAUCGCCUGUCAGGGGCAAAGGGGAAAAAAGAAAUGUUCGUUUGUUGUCAGAAUAGAAGAUCGUUGGAAUGCACAUUACAACUACCACUACCCAGGGAGGACUCCAACAAUUUCAGGUAUCAAGAACAUUUUGGGUAAGUCUCUUCAAUUUUUUUUCACAUCCUAAUUUCUGGAUUCUGCUACAGCAAUCCCCAUCUUUGAUUAUGAUGCUCUACAAGGUUGGCAUUGAAGUCCUUGAAAUAUCGAGGAUCCUUUUUUCCUUCUUUUUUUACUCUCUCCCCUAAGUUCCAUGUUUCCUUGUACAGAGCUGAGAUACCAGUUGGACCAACAGAUGAGCUGUUGUGUUGUGACCUGGUGUAAAGCCAUAUCCUGAGCAGAAUCAAAUAAAAAGCAAGCAUUCCAUUUUAGUUGAUUGGUUAUUUCUGGGAGGGAGGGGAUAUUUCCCAUAUUUGAUAUAGGUGAAACCAAAUUAAAUUAAAAAUUGAAAUAGGAGUCCACGGGUCCAAAUCCCGUUACACAAAUAGCCAGUAAAAUUGAUGGAUGUGUAAUUGCAGGAAAGCAGGAAAUGCAAUGCUGAAUGCUCCCUAUGAUCCUUUCCUCAAACAAUUAUUACAUUUACUUUGAAUCAAUUUAUAGGGAAGUGUAUUGGCAAAACUGGUUUCAUGGUAAGUGUCAAUUUCAAUGGCCGGGCUUAUCAUCUUUACAAGGCGUGCAAAACCAACUCUCAGCCACCCGCCUCAAAGAACAUCUGUUAUUAUUAUUAUUUUUUUUCAAAAAAAAAAAAAUUCUUUGUUUUCAUCUUGUAUGAUGAGUGAGCUCGCUCUCUGGGACCUCUUCAUUUCUACAACACAUAGAAGGGGCUUGGCUAUAUCAACUUGAUAUGCGUCCAUCCGUGCAAAUGUGCCUUCCUUGGAUCACUUGGUUCCAGCAUAUCAUGGUAGAGGCAGACGAAGCCUGACAUUUCAUAUAAAUAAAAAAAAAGGCAAAUAUGAAGAGACAAGGGUGGGUGAAAAUUCAUUCUAAACUCAAAACAUAAACAGACAAAUGCAUUCUCUCAAAUCUAAUCCAACUGUAAAAGUGGCAAGAUUCACUGGAUAACAUGAAGUUUAAAGAUUAGCAUCCUAUGGCAACUAGCUCUUCAGGACUUAUUUUACAAUGGGCUAUAUACUGCUUUGCACAACAUUCAGCAAAAAAGCUUGUCAAAUAUAGACACAGUUCAUAAUAUGUUUCAGAAUGGACCAUUCUGAAUCAGGAAAAGGCAAGGGAAAGAAAGAAUUUCAUUCUGAAAUGAUCCAGCCUUAAAAUGAAGUUAAAGUUCAUAUGGUCACCAGAUGACAUGAUCCCUUACACUAAUUAACGCUUCAUCCAAUGGAUCGAGUUCAUCAAACUAAUGCUUAAUUAAAGGGAUUUCAUAAGUUAAAAUUUUCAUGUCAAGGUCUGAACUUCCAGUUGUCUUAUGCAUUGAUUAGCAUAUGCAGGAUGAUAAAUAAGCAAUUUUUAUCAAUUCACAAGGUCAAAGCCAUCAUCCUAGCAAGGGAGUAAAGGAAUUCAGAUGGGUGGGGAUGUUAUGGGUUUCAUUUCUAAGUGGCUACACAAGGUUUCUUCAAAGGACCAAGACGCCAUAAAUAAAUAAAUUAUUCAUUCUUACCUUUAUAGUAUGCUCUCUACAUUGACUGCUAAAGCAGAUCCAUCUCAUUGUGAUGAACUGGGAUGACCUGCACAUGUUGGUUCAUAGUCUCGAAAAAGUUCAACUUGAUGAACUUAAGAUAUAAUUGGGUCUAACCCAUAACUCAGCUCUGGAACUUGCUGAAGCCUGCAAGAGGUAAAUACAAUUAGCCAAAACUUCAGGAAGAUCCUUAGAACAGAUUCAGGAAGUGAGAUGCCAGAACAAUUUGUGUAUCAGUGCGCUUGCAAUGUGCUGCACCUGGGAUAUUUACAUGCAUUAAUGUGCAAUUUGUUCUGCAGGUGGUGGUAGAUAUAUGACCGCAUAAAAUAUAUAAUCAUGAACUUGAGUCCUAAUAAAAGCAGAAUUAUGAUAAAAGGAACCUAAAAUGAAAAAGAAAAUGCCAAAUUACAAUCAAAAUAACACAAAAAAAAAAAAGAAUAAAGAAAAUAAGCCCUCAUUGACAAUAGAAUCCUUAAGAUUUUAUUUGGCUAAAAAGAAAGAAAAUACACCCUCAGCAACAAUAGAACCAUUAAAGAGUUAAUUUAGCUAACAAGCAUAAAACAUAAUUGUUCAUUGUCUUGGAAAGUGUGUUAAAUUCCUAUUUAGCACAUGUUCCAUUUGAUAAAAAUAUUAUAUAUAUAUAUAUAUAUAUAUAUAUAUAUAUAUAUAUAUAUAUAUAUAUAUAUAUAUAUAUAUAGUCUGAUAAAAAAUAAAAAAAAGUAAAUAGAAAUAUCUCAAUAAGGGAAAAAGUUGUGAGACGGAGUUAAGCAUAUAAAGUCCAUAUGGAGUAGGUUGAGAUGUGGGGAAGAGUAGAGCUCCCAAGGAGUAGCAUUUGAGUUUGAGGUGUAGAUACUAGGGGCGUGAAAACAUCAUAUGUUCCAACGCUUAGGAAUUUUAUCCAUAUUCUCUUUCUUUAGUAAUUUUUAUUUAUUUUAUUUAUUUUUAUGGUAUAUUGGAUUGAUUUUCUCUUGUCUAUGCACGUAGGCACAGUCGGUUGAAUCAUGUUAUAAUGUCAUCUAACUUUUAUGUGAGUUGGCUUUAUCUUCAUUGUUGUUACAUAACUCAUAAGUUCAAAUUUUCUAUUACCAUAAGAAAUUAGUAUCAAAGCAAGGUAAAGGAUUUGGAAGAACUAAAGAGAAUGCUAUUUAAAUGUAAAGAUGACAUAGAAGAUUGAGAAUGUACAAGAGUAUUGAGAAAUGAAUUUUGUUGAAGGUGGAAUCAAUUGUACUCUCAUUGGUAUGUGAUAAAGAGAGUAUUAUAUAAAAAGAGCAUCAGAAUGAGUGCACCAAAGUACACAGGACAUAUACAACUGCAGUCAAAAGGCACAAGCAAAAAGGAAGAGGGACAACAAAAAACUAUUUCCCCCUUUAAUGAGGACCAAGUUGGGUCUUUCUCUAUAUACAACUUGGUUCAAGAAAACAAAUUACAAAAAAAAAAAAAUCUUUUUAAUCUUUGGUUAGAGAGCUUCUCAUUUUCAAAUGAUCUUCUAUUCCUUUCUUUCCAAAUUCCCAAAAAUGCACAGAGGAACCACUUCCCACCCUUUUUUUUAUUCAUCCAAAGGAGUCACACCAUCCUAAAAGGGACUCUCCAACAAAGGAAGAUAACACCCAAUACAUUCCAAAAAGAGAACAAUAGCUGCCAUGAAGCUCUCAUCUUACCACAAUAUAGAAUCGUCAAUCAAUUCCUUUUGGAUGUGACAAAGGAAACAUCUAUUAAGCAAUGUUCAACCUCUUUUUUGAAGCUGAUGUAAGAUUAAAACUUUUCCCCAAUUUGCCUCCCAAGCAAGGAAAUUUGCUUUAAGCAGAACUAAGGAAUUCCAAACAAUGUCCAUAAGGAAAGAGACACUUAUCUUCAUGACUCUAGGGCAAAGUAAACAGACUCAAUGGAAAAAGUUCCGCUCUUUGUCUCCAACCAAAUCACCUUAUCUUCUCCUCUCCUAUUCUCUGCCUUUCCUUGUAGCCUCGAAAAGAAUUGCUCCACAUUCUUGAUCUCCUAAUCAUUUAGAUGCUUAGAGAAACAAGAUUCCAAAAACCUCCUUCAUAGGACUAAUUCCAUGAAUCCGCCACCCAGGCCUUCUUUUGAAGUUGCUAUGACAGAUAAGGAGAGGAAAGAUACACACAAAAAGGCUUAUCUCUAUACUACUUAUCCUUUCAAAACUUUACCCUUCUCUCAUUGCCCACUAAAAAGGAGACUAUUGUUGACAACAUCCUAAUCCUUCCUGAUGGCUUUCCAUAACCCAACCCUGUACUAGUUUCUCACUUUCCAAGAACACCAGCCCCCUUCAUCUUCCCCUAUAUUUUCCAAUUAUGACUUGCUUCUAGAAAGCCUCCCUUUCAUAUGCAAAACUACUCAUUUAUAUAAUAUAAUAUUUGUUCCUCCCAAAAAUAAUGUAAAAUAAAAACUAUAAGUACCUUUUUUGAAGAACUUCUGGGUAGGGUGGAUUGAUCAAGAAGAUUUUGAAGAUGAUAUGCUUUUGACAUCCUUUUUGCAUGGUUAAUGAGGAGUUGUGUAGAGAAUAACCUGAGUUUUUUCAAUAGCAAAUAUUGUUCUAAGAGCUUAUAUGUGUUCAAACUCUACACACAUGUCGACUGCACAUUAAAAAUGGGUAAGCUACACCCCCACAGGGCAGCACUAUAAUAAAUUUAGGCUAUUGGUCACUCAUAGUAGAGCUUAAACUCAUAGAAAGGUUGGCCCUUAUUAUCCCAUUUCCUUAGGAAUGGUGGGCCGAUUACAAUGACUAGUUUUUUGUAGAUACUGUGCAAUCUAUAUAUUACUUGAGGAACUCGUAUAAGAAAGUGGACCUACUUCAUUUGUGCCCCUAUUCACAAGGGCCACUCACUCACAGAAGAGGGAUAAGAGUAAUGACCCAGUUCUAUACAUGUUUUUGGGCAAUAGCCAAGCUGAAUCCUUGUUCAGUAACACUCAAAAGAGAGAAUUAUGAGUGGGACUAUGAGCUGCUUAGUGAGGAUAAAUAGUUAUGCCUGUUGGAUAGUGCAUAAGAACAAGAAGGCAGCUAUUAGCAGUAAGGAAACCGAUGGCAGGCUCCACCCUAUGGGGUUGGAACUGACAGGACUUAAGAAUCACAGACAUGAAUACUGUUGUGAACCGGACAACCAAAGAUUCGAAACAAUUUUUUAUUUCUAACAGGUUUGCCAGGUAGAUCAGAACCUAAACAGCUUAGGUUCCAUGGUUAGAUAAUGUAACCCAAUAAUAUUUUGGUUGGAUUUUUGGUCAGGUCAGUUUUCAACCAGGCCUGAACACUCUUAGAUGUGCUCAAUUGGCAGCUUUAGCACUAAGCAUAACUAUAUUGCAGAGGCCUCAGUUGGAUAUAUAAACAAUGCAUAUAUGACAAUAUUCACAGUGAGUGCUUUAGAUAUUCAAAAAAUUUUGAGGAAGACAGUGAUAGAAGAAGUAUUGAAACAAGAUUUCAAGGCAUAUAAAACCACUCGAGAGAAACAACAAGUUAUUGAAAUUGACAUCAAAACUAUCCAAGAAAACAUUGAGUGCUUGAAUUGUCAUCUAGCAUACAUACCUCUGUCUAACUUUAAGUAUUCCAGUGCCCAGUUGCAUGGGUAUACCCAUGAUUAUGCAUUCACUUACUCCUUCAAUCUUGUCAUCUCUACCACUUACAGAAGCAUUGAAAAGGUGAUCUGCUGUCUUCUCAAAUGAAGCCAGCAUCAAUACACUUUUGUCCAUUUUUUGAAUGCCAAAUCUUGUGAUUCCUAGAACUUCACCCUAAUAAAACAAACAAUUAAAUGUGAAUAUAAAUAGUCCCCAUGAAUGCACUUUCAAACACCAUAACAGAAUUCAAAAUAUAUGGUUUAAACCUCAGGUCGUAACAUGUAAUACAAUUGAAAGAAAAUAACUCACUCUAAAUGUCAUCAAAUCUGCUAAAAGCAUCAUAUGUCGUAUAUCUAUGCUCAUCCCAUGGCUUGCCAUGGUAUACUGUAUCUCAUUAAUGAUGCACUUUCUUGCAGCUUCAAUUCCAAGUGUCUGCUGCACUUCAAUGAUAUGAUUACUGGUAGUUUCACGUCCAAUAACUCCUUCAGUGCCCAUGACAGUUUGGAGACCUGUGCUGAAAUGAAAAAAAGGACAUGCGAAGAUUUAGUCAUAAAGGCAGGUUGCAGGAUAUAGUGAAACAUCUACUGGUGUGCAGUUCUUGUUUUCCCACAAUAUCUACUGAUAAUAAGGCGACCAUCACCUUCCUGAGUUUCUCUGUGACCCUAGUUUCAAAGAGGUUGAUCUGACCCAAAGGGCAUAUUCUCUGUUAAGUCUAUUCCAAUUUGCAUCCUAAAGUCUCUUUCUUUGUUCCUAUUAACUUGUUUGGAUAGAAUCACCAUAGUUGAUCAGUUUAGUUAGAGAGGGUUGGCUUGAUAGGAGUUGCUGAAUGCUUAGUUUAGGUUUUCAUGGGGUUUUCUAGCUUCUCAGAGAGGUUUACUGGUUUGUGCAUCAAUAAUUGGUUGAAAAGCAAAAAAGCUUGUACGGUUUUCUUAUUUGCAACAGAGAAGCCUUUGAAAGUAAAGAUAUUCAAGAACCCUUUUUUUUAUUAUGUGGAAGGGGUUAUGUUUCUUUUUCUUGGUUUGGUUCAUUUCUAUAGUUUCUAGAAAGGCAUUGAUAGAAAUUCCAUUAUGUUGAUUUCUUGCACCAGAUGCACUUUCUAGUUAGCAGAUGAAGUCAGCUUAGAAUGAAGUUCAGUAGACUAUAUGUUCUAGUUUCUAGGUUUUUCUUCUUCCUUUGCAGGGUUCAUAGUGGGAGGGUUAAGGGCAAGCUCCCCAACAUGGGCUUCCCAAUAAAAUCAUCACUUAUUAGAGGGAAUUGAGAAAAGGGAUAUUAAAAUACCAGUUAAAUAAACCAAUUUUCGUUUAAUUGGUGGGGUUACCCAGAAAAUGAUAAUAUUUUACUUAGCUAUGUGCAUGUGUGCAAAAGUCAGCUGAAUAAAUUAUUUAUGGACAUAAAAAAGCCAAACUUGCUUUUAGAAAGCCUAGACUCAAAACAAAGGCACAUGAGAACAGAAAGAAAAUAGUAGAAUCUGGUUAAGUGGUAUAACAAACUAACCCUUCUACAAGCAAGUUGUACUUUACUUUGUUAUCUUUGUUAAUCACAGCACGUUCAACAGUUUCUAUUCCCUGCCAACCAAAGAUAACCUUGAGAAAGUUACAUAUCUAUUCCAGAUGUUCCAACCAAAAUGAUGGAAAUUUUUUUUGCAGCAUUGCCUUGUGAAUUGAAAUAGAUGACAAAAUCAUAAAAACCCUACAAACCUCACCUUUACAACCACAGUUGGAAGCAAAUUUUUAAGAGCAUGGAGUUCAAAAUGAAUUGUACUUCUAUCACCCUGAGGAUGAACUUCCAACUUUCCAGCAUCCAAAACCUUAAUAUGCUGCAAAUUGACAUCCAAUUGGGAUGUUACUAAACAUAGAAAUAGCAUGUAUGUUUUGAACUAAUAUGGGAUUUUCCCACCUGUUGCUUCAGUUUGAUUCGUCGGUUUCGCAAAAUUGAUUCUCUUACAAUAUUAGAAUCUAUAGACAAUUGUGAAGCCUGAAUUCCUUCCAUGUCAAGUGCGACAGCUAUUAACGCUAGUCUUGAAGUCAAGACAAUCUUUAUACUCUUUGCUACCUGCAGAACAAGAAGAUGGUCAACUUGAAGGGCAAACAAAAUCCUACCUGAUGGGAGAGAGUUGGGUGAAAAACCUACGCUUUUCAUCACACAACAUAUGAACUAGAAAAGAUAUAUUAUUUUCUCAAAAGAUUUUUUAUUGAAUUCGGUUUAAUGAAUAGGAGAAAUAUUAAAAGACCGUCACAAUCACAAAAGAUUAGCUGAAUGGAUGGGACAGUAGCUUGGCAGUAACCAGAUAAGAAACAGGACUGAAUGAUGGAAGCAUCAGAUCACCAAUGAAAGAACAGUACCAAUUAUUUUCAAUGUUUUUGUGUGUAUAAAAUGAAGACUUUGAAUACAAACUUAAUAAGGAAUAGAUAGCCAGAAGUAACUGAAACUAACACAGCAAUUUCCUGAAAGCACCAGCAAUGACCAAUCAACUACUAAUUAGAGAACAACAACAAGUAUUUAAGAGUUUUUAUAUUUUGUAUAGGAAGGAAAACUUCUGACACAAAUUAAAUCAGUAACAUAAAUGUAAUAAGAACAUCUUGAAUGUUGAUCUUUAGAUGGCGAUGGAUAUCAAAAUCCUAUAAAAAUAAUGUACAUACCUGGCCUAAAGUCGUUCUCUCAAUGCGACCUUUAACCAUUCGUGCGGUUUUCACAUUAUUAUUGCACUCAAGAGCUGCAGUGAUGAUGGGUGUGCUAAUUCUUUUGGCUCCAUUUAUUAUUUCUUUGAUACGAGGAACUCCAAGUGUAACAUCUAAUACAGAGUUAAAGUACCACAUUGGUGACCAGAAAAAAAAAAUACAGAAGACUCAAUAGACAAAAGCCCCGGGGAAAAAGGUGCCAAGAGUCUUUCAAUGGUUAAAAGGAUACUCAUGCUUGCAACACCAGCAAAGUGGAAAGUUUUUAAUGUCAUCUGUGUCCCAGGCUCUCCAAUACUAUGAGCUCCAAUUGCACCAAUUGCAGUUCCAGCUUCAAUUCGUUUUAAUUGAUAACGAGAGAUGCAGGUAUCCAGAAAAACCUAGUGCAGAAAUGAUUGAAAACAUAGGUCACAUAUAGUAAUAAGUUUAGAUGUAUAGGAACAAGAUGCAUUGCAAAAACCUUAUAAAUGCUAAUAGAAGUAAAAAACAUUUUCUAGCCAAUGGCAUCUGAACAUGCAUUUUUCAAUAGAAUUUACUUGUUAAAUUACUCAUUCAUCAAAUUUUAAUUUGAGUGCAAUUUCAAUAGGCAAAAGCACUCUCUAAUUAAACUUGACUGAUGCUCCCAGCUUUUCCUUGGUACAUCAUUGUCAACCAAAUAAAAAAUGGGAGAUGAAGUGUGCCAAAAGGCCAUGUGAGGAGGGUUUUGAUUUGUUUACUCAUCACAAGUCACUCUCAAAGCAUUUCCAAAUUUGGAAGAAUUUAAUCUUCCCAUUUCUCCUGUCUUAGAUCACCCCCAGUCUUUUCCUGGAACUCUGUUCUUCAACAUCAUUUGUCAUAUCAACAAGUUGAUAAUUUAUCUUCUCUUUUACCCUUUGUCUAUGGCAUAUCUCUCCAUUACUUCUUGAUUCGAGGGUUUGGAUUCUGGUUCAUUCCAGUAUAUUUUCAUCGAAGUCAUUGUAUCAGGUCCUUUUUAUGAAUAAGUCAUUAGUUGUAUUUCCUCAGCUAGAUUCAUUUGCAAGUCUGAGGUUCUCCCACAAGUAUGUGUCACUAAAAAGAUUAAUACUAGUGAUUUUUUUUUUUUACAUGUAAGGAGACCCUUCAAAACCCUUAAUCUUGAGUAUUGUGUUCUCUGCUUAGAGAAUAGCAAAACAGUGGAUCAUCCAUUUCUACAUUGUCCUAUGGCAUGGAAUUUAUUUUAUUGAUAAGCAAUGAAAUAUGUAUAUAUAUGAAGCACAGGCGGUUUACAGCAGGCACAAAGUGGAAAAUCCACAAAUGAGAGACCAAAAACCACUCUCUCUCUCUCUCUCUCUCUCUCUCUCUAACUGUGAUCCUAAUCAAUCUAGAAAAUCAAACAAAAGGCACUGAGCCUUCUUUUAUAUACAUCCCAACCCAAGCUAAUAGAUUGCUAAGGAACAACCAUUUCAACCUAUUCUCAGACAGCUACUCAUUUCGAAAUGCUCUGCGGUUUCUCUCCUUUCUUAAAAGUCCAAAAAAUGCAUAGAGAAGCUGCUUGUCAAACUUUCUUCUGUUUUCUCCCUACAAAGAGCCUUGCCCGCUUAAAAAAAGAGUUUCUCUGAUUGUGGAAGGAAGCACCCAAUGAAGAAGAAUGCAGUCUACUGAUUCCCCUUUGAUUUUGCAUAGAUAGCAUGUAUUCAUCGAUGGCCAUCCUCAUCUUUGAAGUUGAUCCAACGUCAACACUUUUCCACAAUUGGCUUCCCAAGGAAAAGAAACUCUCGUUAGUCAAGACCUAAGCAAAAAACCACUCCCUCACUUUAGUCCUAUGGCAUGGAAUUUAUGGAAUAGAUUAUACUUGGAGGUGGAAUUGUCUUGAGUUCCCUUUAGAAUUGUUGCAAAUAUGAUACUCAUGCUUUUAUAGGCCAUGGGAGGAGUCUUAGAGUACUUUAGCAAGGAUGCAUGCCUAAUAUUCUCUAAGUGAUUUGGUUAGAGAGGAACAUUAGGAUUUUUUAGGACACAUAAUCACUUAAGUCAUUGUGCAUUGCCAUUUAUCAUUCCACUACUUUCUGAUUUUCAGUUUCAACAGAAUUCUUAGAUAUUCUUGUGGGCAUGAUUAUGUUGGAUGGAACUAGGGCGAGCAAUCGGCACACUAGUUACAAGAAUGAUUUUGGAGAUAGUGCAGUAUGGGAAUCCCCCAUUUCAGCAUGUCUCCAAGAGAGUGAGCUUUGUUGCUAAAGACAUUAUUGGUGGCUCACUCCCUAAGUAUUUAUCUGGGUCUAUGGUCCUUGCAGGUACCAAUGGUGACAUAGCCUAACUUCUUUUGUGCGAUGCUUUAAUACCUUUUUGUUUUGUUUUUUUUUUUUUUGGAUAGGCAAAAGUGAGAAUAUAUUAAAAGCUCAAAGGGCGCAUCAACGUACACACGAAGUAUACAAAGUUGCACCACGACAAAAGAACAAUCAGAACAACAAGGAAAAACAACCAAAUCCAACUCCUAACACCCCAUAGAACCAAUUUUCCCUGGUCUUUCUCAAACCCCUUACAAACCACCCCACUUAUAGACCCAAUUUGAACACCUUAUUGAAAAAAAAAUUGGUCCCCAAUGCUCCUCCCUUUGCCCCUAGAUACCGAGCGAGACCUAGAGAACUGAGACGAUGCUUUUGGCUUCAUCUCCCCCCCAAUGCCUUGCCUUCAUUCCCUCUCCUUGCAUCCCUCUUCCUCAACAAGGAAAUGAUCUCGUUUUCAAAACCCACCAUUGGCAUUCCCAAAAAGCUACUGAACCUAGUUAGCUUAUCAAAAAGAUAUUCCGAAGGGAAUACCUACACCAUGGAGCAAUUGCUUGACUUUAUCUUGGAAGAGUUUGACUCCCCACAACUGGAAAUGAUGUCUUUGCAUAAAAAACCUGCCUCGACAUUUUGUGGAAACUCCAACAAAGAACCAUCCUUCAACAUUAUCUUAAGUGGAUGACUUCCAUCUCCCAAAUCCCCACUAGGAUGUCCCUCUUUUAUCUACGAAACUCGAUCCCAUCCACAACCUUCACCCACAAGUUGAUUUAGAAUUCUAAAUCCAUCAUCUAACCAUCUAGCCUUUGCAACCAAAGAUGAAGGAGGGAGCAGCUCUCCUCCCAGAGAAACAUCUCUCUUACCUUCGAACCUAGCUGCUUUAGCCAACAGAGCAUCCUUAGUUCCCAAAGAUCUCUCCUCUAGACUCCGAAACCACUCUUUUGUAAUGGGAUCUACACAAAUCUCCUCAAUGCUCUCUUUCUCNNNNNNNNNNNNNNNNNNNNNNNNNNNNNNNNNNNNNNNNNNNNNNNNNNNNNNNNNNNNNNNNNNNNNNNNNNNNNNNNNNNNNNNNNNNNNNNNNNNNCCCCUAAUAUCUGAGAAUGUUGAAGCCCUUUCUCUCAGAUGGCUCUAUCCAAAGCCCUAGAACCAACCUUAGCCUGCCCACCAAAGAUUUUAUCAAGACUGAGCCUUAACUUAAUAUCUUUAGGCUAGCCUAAUGGAAAACCUUUUGCAGACCAUUUAGGAUGAUAACUUGUCAUACUUAGGCCUCCUUUAAGUUUGAGAACCUGGGCUGGUAUAGGGCCAUACUCAUCACAUGGGCCCCUUUUUUUAACUUCAAAUAAAAGGCCCAUUGUCCCAAUAGCCAUAUCAAGGCUUUUUUAUGGCACCUUUCCCACCGUACCCAAUACACUGCAACCGCCAUGUCCAGCAAAUGCAGUCUCCAUCAUUAAGUGUGUAGGGAGGGUAGGCUCAUCAAAGGAUGCUUGUAAACCCUCGUCUAUACGCUUCUCUUCUUCACUUUCCACUUUCCCACUUGUGGGUGAGAGAUCCUCACCCUCAUCACCAACCUUUAGAGCUUUGCCCUUCCCCAUGGAGACCACUGUAAAAAACCAAGGUGCAAAGUCCCACCAUAGCUGGAUUUCAAAGACUUCUACCCCAACCACUACAUGCAACCUUUCUUUUUUGAACCAAAACAAGGCUACAAAAAGAAAGAAAAAACCUAGAGAGAUAAAAGCUAGACACCAUGCCAAUCACCCAAAAAAUUCAUAUUAAUGGAUAAUCUAAAUCCAAAAACUAUUGAGACCACUCUAGAAGAGAAUGGAAAAGGAGGUUCCACAAACAUUGGUCUAACAACUCUUCCUCUUGGAAUGUUCUUCGGUUUCGCUCUCCCCAAAUAUACUAAAAAAGACAAAUAGGCGUCAAUCUCCAAACUGUUUUCCUCUUCUUCCCUAACCUCAUAAUUUUCCAUUUCAGAAGCCCAUUUCUCACUAAAGCCGGGAACACCCACACCAGUCCAACAGAUGAUAGCAACAAAGUCCAUAGCUCCCUUAUCUUACCACAAUGAAUCAAAAUGUGGUCUGCCAAUUCCUCACAAGAAUCCUCUUUCCUGUUGGAUUUCACAAGAAUCCUCGUCCACUACAGCAUCUGCCUCUCUCUCAUCUCCUCAUCAACAACUAAAAAGCCUCUGCAAACAUCGCUAAACUUCUUGAAAAAUUCUUCUCCCCAUAAAUGCAAAGGUAACCCUAGCACUCUAACACAAUGCUCAACCCUGAGACAACCUACAUCAGGCUUCCACCAAUCCAAUUGCACCUCUUUCCCCUCAAAACAACAAUUACCCAAAAGCCAAACCUUUUUUGCUUUAGAAACAUUAUCAAACUCAAAAACAUAUUAGAAAGUUCCCUAACAAGGAGAGAUGAAGAUAACCUCUCUCACCUUCCACGAGUAUCUAACCCAAUCUUUGAGAGAACCCAAAUCCCUUAUCUGGACUGGACCGUCCCCCCAUCUCCCCACCAAGCACUUUUUGAGGAGCUUUGAAUUUCUGAACACCCUCCUUCGACUCACCCUGAACCUAGACCGACUUCCCUAUCACUUUUUUUUCCUCUACUCACCACUUUUGCAAAGGACUUACCCUCGGGGGAGCUUCUCUUCCACUACCAUCCACCAAAAGACAGGCAUGCUCCUUGGAUGACUGUGCCUUCUUGAACUCCAGGACAACACCAAUUUCCCUCAGUUUAGAGGCAAGGGUCUUCCACCCCCCCAGACCAUCGCUUCCUUCAAGAAAUACUAAGGAGAAACCUUUUUACUCCAAAGACAACACAGAGCACAAUAGGAAUCUCCCUCCCUUGUUGCUACGAAGACCCAGCUUGUAGCCCCUACCACCUUCAUUUCAACCCAUGAAGAAGGAAUUUCCAGACUGUCCUACACAACAGGCCUCAACCCCUUCCUGCAACUGAGCUAGCCCCCUCUCACCAAACCUACUCUAAGAGGAAAACCCCGCCCUCUCUUCACUAUCUUACCCACCAUCUUCCUUUGACUUGCUCCAUCAAAAUCUCAAAAGAUUUUGACUCGACUCCAAACCAGCAACUUCCCCUUUGCGAAGCCAUCACUGAAACUACCCUAAGAUUCUCUGUGAUGCUUUGAUACCUUGCUUGUAAAAUUUCUUUUUUCUUGUCUUGAAGGAUAGCUUGUCCUUCCUGUAUCCUGCAUUUCUUUCUAUAAUUUAAUAAAUCAUUUGUUCUAAAAAUAUAAUUCAAAAUAAUUAAUAGACAUCAUCAAUUCCACAUGAUUUUUGCUACCUAUCUACCUAAUGGAGCCUGCUAGUUUAACUUGUAGAUGUGAGUGGUCAGUGUUCACAUGCUACAGUCGAAAGAGGCUCCAAGAAUCUGGCUCCUAUUGGCAAAAACUUAAGUACAAUUUUUCGUGUGGGUCCCUAAAAAGGGGUAAAGGAGAGGAUACUAACUGGGACACCCAUCUGUUUGGCAGGGAAUUCAUACAAGCUCUUGCCAAGAUUAUUCCUAAUAGAUUAAGGUGAUUUGGCUGAAAGGUUUUGGAAUUUUCAAUGGGUUUAAAAGAAUCCAAGAUAUUAUUGUCAUCGUGAAAAGCUAUCGAUUCCAGGUUUCAGAGCUUUAGAUCAGAUGUGGUGUGUAAGUUGGAAAUAGAAAAAGCUUAUGAAAAUGUUCAAAGGAAUUUCUUGUCUCUUUGAACAGAGAGGAUGGACUCUGAGCAAAGGUGGGAUUGCUUGGAUCAAAUUCAUCUUACUGUUAGAUUUUCCAUCUUGGUUGACAGGAGAUCCCUCAGGUUUCUGGUUAUAAUGCCCCAGGUACAUAAAAGAAAAACAAAAUUACUUUAGGGAUACUUCUACGUUGUACCUUAAAGUUAUGUAAAUAGCGAAUAUAACAAAAUAAUCGCAAUCUUCCAUCAUGUUCAAAACUAAAAUAUGUGAUAGAAGACAGAAUUUAGAAAAAGAAAAUUGCAAAUUUUUUAAAAUAAUGAAUGCAACAAAAUGAUCACAAUCUUCCAUCAUGUUCAAAACUAAAAUACGUUAUAGAAGACAAAGAAUUUAGAAGAAGAAGAUUGCAAAUUGUUAGUGUACUUGGAUAAAAAGACCAUUAAAGCAUCAACAAAUGAGGGAAAAGGAUAGAGAAAAUGUGUCAUUAGGAAAUAUCAUUGAAUACCUGCAACUGUUUGGAAGUAAUACCAGAUAUAUUUUUGGCAAAUUUUUCUUGGAUAUCUAAAUUUUCUUCCCCAACAUGCUCUCCAUGUAAUCCAAGUGCCUCCCUCGUGUUUUUAAAUUUUUCUUUACAUUCUUCAAGGAAACCUGAUAGAUUGGUCUUGAAGGCAUCAGAACAACCCUCAGCAGAUGUAUUAUGUUCUUUGAGCCUUUUCACAGUCUCCUCAAUUUGUAAAGCAGAUAAACUUGCAUUUUCUCCUGCGGGACAUGUAGCCUGUACAAGGACAAUAUUCAACUAAAUGUAUUGUUCAACUUCGCAAAAACUUGUGUGCCAAAAAAACAAACUACUGAAGGCACCAGGUUCAGACCUUCACUUUCAAAAACAAUCUAUUAAAAUUCAAAGGAAAGCCGUCUUUUCCUUCCAUCCUUGCUGGAUCCAUACCAUCAUCUCCAUAAAGAAAUUGAACUAUGCUUCCAUUGGCAUUUCGUACUGUUUCAUCAUACUGAAUGGACAGGUCCUCUAAUGCUUUCAUUAAUCUACGAGACAUGUACCCGGUGUCAGCUGUUUUUACCUACAGUAAUGACAAUAAUCAAAUAAGCAUAUGAUUCAAGGGUUAAGUGCUACUAAACCUUAAUGAUUAACAAAGGGACUAGAUGUUAUCAUGAUGUAGAAAACGAUGUAUUUACAGAAACUACUAUGUAGAUAUUUUGCUUUUAUACUUCAUGCAGAGAAUGCCAGGGAAAAAAAAAGUAAAAAAAGAUAAGAACAUUAAAAAGUACAAUCAGUUAUUUCAGCAGUUGAGAAAUUCAAUCUCAAUGUGAGAAUUAAGAAACUGAAUAAAGCCUCACAAGUAAAAACAUUGGAACCUUCAGAGUAUGACCUGGUGAAAGCAAUAAUGUUUUUUUGCCAUCAUUCCAAGUUCAUGAAAGAGGAGGAUAAAACAUUUUUCCUUUGCUUGGGAGACAAUGUGGCAUGAGGUUGAACAAGCCUUCAAAUAUAGAUGAUUUUUCUGGUCUCCUGUUACCAGUCUUUAAACAAAAUAAAUUUUCCAUUAUUUUUUCAAUUAAAGUAAAAACUUUUGAGAUUGGAGUUGAUACUAAGAAGAGGAAGAAUGGAGAAAAAGAAGGUACAGAAAGAUUUAGAUCAUCCAACUAAAUUCCCAUACGUUCUCAUUUAUUUAAAUGUUAACCAAGAUUACAAUAAUACCUCUAGUGGCUUCUGAGAUUUUCAAAUCUAACACUUCAACAUGCACUAAGGAAGCACUUUUGUAUCGAUGCCGUAUAAAAAUUUUAUUAACUCAUACAAUUUACUAUUUCUUUUUAUUAGGCAAGUAAGAUAACAUCAUUAAAGAAGUGGCUAACAAAAGAAAGGAGCACAAAGCUAAAAAGCAAGAUAUGUAUAAGAGCAACACAAGGUGAAAAAGAUAGUAUCAUUAAGUGUCCACAGAGUUUAUAAAUUGCUUUUUCUGCCAUUUGUCUAUGCAUAUAGUCUUAAUUUUUGUGGACCAACAUACAUAUUUACUUUUGGAUCAGCAAUUAUACAUCUUGGAAGGAUUAUUCGUCCUUCCUUUGUGUUUACCAUACAAUAAAUGAACAUGUUUGUUUCCAAUAAAUAAAUAAAGGAGAGCAAGAAGAAAUCCAGGCACCUCCUUAACUCCUACCAAGCUAUCAAUAAAAUCAAACAAAAGGAGAAAAACUAAGGGAACCCUUGACCACAAAAAUAAAUAAAUAAAUAAAAGAUUUGACGAAAAACUUUUCCAACUUCUAAUCCACCGUUCUAUUUCCUAAAAGAUUUUGUUAUUGCACUCUCUCCAAAUAUGCCAAAAUAAGCCAAUAGAAGCCAACAUUUGCACCUUCUUACAUCUCUUACCCACAAAGCAUCCAUGCCACCCCAACAAUUUUCUGAUUGACCAAGGGAAAACUCAUGAAAGAGCUAAGGUGAGCAAAAUUUUCCACAACAAGGAGCCAAAUCAUAUAAUGGGUAAGAAUAUGAUUUUGCGACUCCUCCAUAGCAUUCCAUAGGCAGCCACCAUUACCAAAGAACAACCUUUUGCCAGGAGUUGACCACAAGUAAAGAUCUUCUCCCAAAGAAUACAAUUGAAGAGGCGCUCUUGAGCUCCUCACAUCCUUAGCAAACUGGAAUAGAUAAUAAGGACAAGUAUAAGGACUUCAAACAAAGCCGUUGUUCUCCAUCCUCUCUAGCAACAAGUACUACUAUUGAAUGAAUGAACUGAAAGAAAAAGCCAACCAACACAAGCUCCAAAUCAUGGAAUGAGCAUAAAAGAUUCCAAUGGCCUUGCCAAUGCCCUCCAAUUCCGUGCGAUCACAUUUAAGGGAAGAAAGUCUAAACAUAAAAUGGAAGCCAUUCUUAAGGGAAGACCCCCCACCAUCUUGUGUAAUAAAACAUAAACUUGGUCUUAAGACUGUGCCCUACUAAAAUGCUGAUUCUAAGCUAGACAUGCUCCCAAUCUUUUCCUUUCUAAUACCUUUCCACACACACACACACACACACACACACACAAACUUCCUUUGAGCACCUUUGAGCAUUAAUUUCUGUCCAACUCCCUAAUUUGUCAAAGAAAACCCACCUCCAUGAAUCCUCUUGCUCAAUUCUAACCACCACAAACACAUUCUUAGGAAGGCCUUGUCAAGAGUUGAAAGAAUUCCUACCCCUAAAUCACCUACACCUUUAUCCAAAUAAAUGAUGUCUCUCUUCACUAAAUGCAGUUUCCUACCCAAGUUCCAACCAGCCCCAAAGAAAGUGCAUCUUAAUCUUCUCCAACAGAAACCCCACUGCUCUAGGAAUCACCAAGAACGCAUGAACAAAUCAAUACACUAGAAAGGAUACUUUCAAUAAGUGUAAAGGUUCUCCUUUAGACAUGCAUUGCCUUUUCUAGGAAGCAAGCCUUCUUUUAAUCCUUUCCUCCAUGAGUUCCCACAAUGAACAUGGCUUAAAAAGGAGCACCAAAAGAAGGUCCAAACACUUAAUGUGGAUAACAUCCCUACCAUGUGAACCAGAAAAGUUCCCACAAUGAACAUGGCUUAAAAAGGAGCACCAAAAGAAGGCUUAAACACUUAAUGCGGAUAACAUCCCUACCAUGUGACCCAGAAAAAUGACAUUGUAGAUUAAUUUUGGCCAAACACCAUCUCAAAGAAAAGAAUGCUUGUUACACCAAGUCUAAUAAUUGCUCACACCAAGCCUCACGAAAAGGAAGCUUGUCAAAGAGAAGAUAAGAAACCUCUACCACUUCUCCCCAUUCAAUGCUAGGAAACUCCCCUGCAUGGUCCUAGAGAGUAACUAAAUUAAUGCUUCCAUGACCACUACAAAUGUAUAGGAGAAAGGGGGUAUCCCUGCCUCAAACCCCUCAACCUUUGGGAAGGUCAUCAUAGAGUCCUAUUUAUCAAGACAAAAAAUAUGACUGAUGAGAUGCACAAUUCAAUCCACCCAACCAUCCUUUAUCUAGCAGCUUGUCACCUCCAAAAUACUACAUCAAGCAAUGUUCACAAUAAUAAUUUACCAACACAAUAUAUGCCAUAUAAAACUAGUUGUUUUUAAAUAGCUGAUGGUACAAAAACCUAAGUAAAUUUUGGGAAAAUUUUUUGACUUUGUCAAUUGCAUUAACACUCCAUAAGCUAGCAACAACAAAGUCACUAGAAAGGACUAACAUCAAUGGAAUUUGGACCUGAUAUGGAGGCCCAGAUAAAAAUGAAGGGAAUCCAAUCCAAGGAAAAAAGAAAAAAAACUGUUACAAUUAAAAAAGAAAAAGAAAAAGAAAAAAGAAGAGUCAUGAAAAUAACUACAGCAUAUUAUUUUGAGUCAACAAGUCGGAAAUCUGACAUAAGUCGAAAGGUCAAUCUAAAGUUUCAACCACCAUCUUCUAAAAUUGCAGAAUUAGUUAAAAGAAAUUUCAGACUAUGGCUCGAGUAAAAAUGUAGGUGACAAAUCACCAAUUGAAAACCACUUCCUAAAAUUAAUUCCACUAACGAGAAAAUCCAGCAUUCAUGUCUAAAGCACCUUUUGUUCAGAGGUAGUAAAAACUAAAUUAAUAUGUGCCGGAGGUGAUGAACCCUGAUUUGAAUACUCUGCUGAUGAAUGCCACCUAUGUGUGGGUAGUUUUUAUGAUAUUUGCAUUCCCUUGAAUCACCACAUGAUUGUAUAACAGCAUUUUCAAAUAUUUAUUUAAAAAAUGCACAUUAAUUUAUAUGUUUCUCAAUAUUUUUGCUGAUGGUGCCAUAUAGCUUUUCUGGCUCAAUUAUCAAAACUUCCUUUAUGAAUGAGGACUUGAGCCUGAGUGAAGGUUAAGAAAUCAGUCCAUGUAAGGUAAAAGCUUCACAUCCUCAGUUUCCCAACCAUGCUACAAUUUGCCUUCAGUCAACAAGCUGAUCAAGAAAUAUUUAGUUUUCAUGUCCAACAGAUUGAUCUCCAGUUCCAAGAUCAACUCAAGUUCAAGCAUUCAACGAGACAAAGCUCCAAUACCAACAACUUGGAUCAGCUACAUUGAUCCUUUUUUGCCACUCAGCUUAAUCUAGAGCUAUAGCCUCCAUCAAAUCUUUAGCAAUCAUUUUUUUUUUUUGUUUUUUUGUUUUAAUCAAUAAAGACUGAAAUCAAAUCUUUAGCAAUCAUGUCUAUCCACAGUACCCCUAUCCAUGUCCUUGGUGGCCUCCCACUUCCCUUUUGUCCUUAUGGUUAUAUUACAUGAAUUGAAUAAGAAUUUGAGGACUUAUAGUCCUCCCUGAACAGGGAGAAUGAUGUGAUAUGUGUGUGCAAAUCUAAAUGGGUGUUCUUGCCCUUGAAGUUUUAUUUAAACCUCAUGUGUUCUCUUUCAUGAUUCAUUUAUCAUUUACAAGCCCUCAGAUUAAAAAUAAACGAGGGGCUGAGUUCACACUAUUUUCAGCACAUGCCAAGGAUCUACUUUGUUCUUUAUUCAAUCUGCAGAACUAAGAGCAGGUCUAUUGACUAUCUAGAUAGCCUUGCUUUGAUGCACCCUACAACAUUUUUGGAAUCCUAUUGUUUUUUGAGGAGGCCUAUCCUUCUUUAAACUGCAUUCCUUUCAAUACCUCUUAUGUCUAAUGAAUCUCAUGGUUCACAGCUACCCUUUUUUCAAUCUCUUCUUCCUAUUGUGUAAAUUGUUGAUUAAUUGGUAUGACCAUUGAGCGACCUUUUUACUGCUUUCUAUUAUUCUAAUAGAUUUUUCUUUCUAAUUGUUUGAUUGUUGGUAUCAGCUAUAACCAUAUCAAAAAGAUAAAAAAAAAAAAAAUUAAAACUUUGCUUUAUCUUCUGAAUCUGAAUCAACUUUUCCUUGUUUUUGGAAAUAACUUAGGUCGUUUAAAUAAACUAUGAUGAUUCUAAAGCAAAUUGAUUGACUAAAUUCAAACAAUGACCAAUUUCUUAUUGAUAACUGCAUUGAUUAAUGCACCUUAAUUCCAUACUCAUCAAAAGCUUUUAAUACUGAAGAUGACAUCUAGAUUUUCUAACAUACAUUACAUUUUAAACUGAUGAGAUUCCCUACUGACAGAUUUCAUUUGAGAGAUAUUAACCCAUAAGAUAGGUGCACUUCAUUCUCAAACAUAAACAUUAAUUGUAUUAAUGGACAUGUCAUUAAUUGAUCUGUAAUAUAUUUGCAACUUGGGCUAAAUUUUUGGUAAGUAAAAAAGGUAAAACAUCUAUAAAAAAAAAGAAAGAUUAAAUAUUAAUUUUAGGUUAAGUAUAUGCUUAAUAUAUAUGAUGUACACACUUAAAAAAAUUAAGUAAUAGCUAAAUAAGGUGAAGAGAGUCUAAUAUACCGCCGUAUCAACAAGACCUUCUCGUCCUCCCAUUGUAUGAAAGAAAAACUCUGUAGCUGUCAAACCAGUAUAGAAUGAACUGGCAACAAAACCUUUAGCCUGCAUUAAGAUUACAACAUUCCAUUAAAUGCUUUUGAAAGUUCAUAGCUAUCAAUAGGCAGUCAGUGCAUUAAUCAUUUGGAUACAUAACAAAGAUCUGAAUGAAUAAUACAUGCACAUCUUUUAUUGAUUGGUACAAAUAGCAUUUUCUUUUUUCGAUAAGGAAAAGUAUUGUAUUAUGAAGAGAUGCUAAAAUAGCGACUCAAAAUAUACAGAAUAGAAAGGGAAACACUCACCCCCUAACAUUUGAAACAAAAAACUAUCCACAAAAAUAUACAAAAAACAACCCCAUCCCUUGAUGGGAACUCACCCAAUCAAUGAACUCAAAAAAGGUUGUUGUACCAUCUUUUAUAAACAAUUUAGUCUCCGAUCAAAGUGGGCUACGAAAAUAAGUUUUUAGUCUUUGGAUGGACAACAUAUUAUCUUCAAAGGCGAUUCUAUUCCUUGUCUUCCAAACUAUCCAAAAAAUGUAAAGAGGACCCAUUCUCCAAAUUGUCUUGCAUUUUUUUCCCACAAAGAAUCCAUUCCAACCCAAGAGGUUUUCCCUAACCGAAGAAGGAAACACCUAAGACACUAAAAAGAGUGAAAAACAUCUCCCACGAUGCCCUAGUAUUUUCACAAUGGAGAAGGAGGUGGUUAAUGGAUUCCUCAUCCGCUUGACAAAAAUAACAUCUAUUUGCUAAGGCCCAUCCCCUCUUUUUAACUUGGUCCAAGGUUAAAACUUUGCCCCAUGAUGCCUCCCAAGUAAAGAAGCUUACUUUUGGUUGCACACACGAUUUCCAAAUGAUCUUCAUUGGAAACAAAACUGAAGAGCCUGGCUUUAAGACUUUGUAAAAUGACUUUGUCGAGAAAGUUCUAUCCUUUGUUUCCAUCCACCGCACCCUAUCCUCAUCCUCCAAGAUCACUUUCUAACCACACAAGCGUAACAAAAGGCCCUCCAUCUCAUCCAUCUCCUAAUCAUUAAAGACCUAGUGAAGCAAGGACUCCAACUCCUCCUCCUAAUCCAAACAUCCUUCACCCAAGUUGUUAUGGGAUCAGCUCGGGCAAAUAAGGAAGGGAAAGAAGCACACAAAGGUGUAGCCCCACACCAAAUAUCCUUUCAAAAACUCACCAUUUGACCGUUCCCUACCACAAAGGAGAGUCUAUUGCUAACAAUGUGUCCAAGCUUCCUAAUUGCUUUCCACAAUCCUACACCAUACCCCUCUCUUACGUCCCGAGAACACCACCUUCCUUGUUCCUCCCCAUAUAUCCCCCUAAUUACUUGGUUCCAUAAAGCCCCUUUCUUAUUCGCAAAGAGCCAACUCCAUUUGCAAAGGAGGGCCUUGUUGAGCGUAGAAAUGCUCUUGACCCCCAAACCCCCUUUUCUCUUAUCAAGGCACACUAUUGCCCAUCUUACUAAGUGAGGUCUCCGGCCUAGGUGGCCCCACUUCCCCACAGGAAAUUUCUCUGAAUCUACUUCAGCCUUAAUUUGACCCCCCUUGGCAAUUGUAGAAUAGACAUGAAGUAAAUAGGCAAGCUGGACAAUGUGCUUCUAAUCAAAGUAAUUCUCCAUCCCUUAGAAAUAUAUUGACAUUUCCACAUAGCCAAUCUCUUACGGAAUCUCUUCUCCACUCCAUCCCAAGUUGCCACAGACUUGAAGGGUGCAUCCAACAACAUCCCCAAGUAAAUGGAAAGUAAACUUUCCACCUUACAAUCAAGCUCAGAAGCAAACUCCUCCACAUUCUCCACAUUGCCUAUUGGGAUCAACUCACUUUUAUCCAAGUUAACUUUCAGCCCUGAUAUAGCCUUAAACCACAUAAGUAACCAACUCAAAAAGGUCACUUAGUCCUUGUUGGCCUUGCAAAAAACCAAAGUAUCAUCAACAAACAACAAAUGGGAGAUUUUAACCUCUUCACCCCUUUCUCCUCCUUGCCUUAGACCCCUAGAACUUUGAAAAAAUCCCAAAGAAGUGUCAUUAACCAGAAUUGAAAAACUAGCAGUGGACACACACCACUUUAUCCACUUCUCCCCAAAACCCACCUUCUCCAGAACCAAGAACAAGAAAAGUCACUUCACAUGAUCAUACGCCUUCUCAAUAUCUAGCUUGCAAAGAAUUGCUCCACCCUUACUCUUCAAAAUCGAAUCAAUGGUUUCAUUGGCAAUAAGCAUUGUAUCCACAAUUUGCCUACCUUCUACAAAUACAUUUUGGGUGUUGGAAAUCACCUUAGCUAACACUAGCUUUAAUCUAUUAGCCAACACCUUAGCCAACCACUUAUACAGCGGCCCCCCUCUCCCCCCCCAAACAGGAUAAUAGGCCUGAAAUCCCUCAAGUCCUCCACAUCCCUUUUCUUCGGGAUCAGCACUAAGAAAGUUGCAUUCAAACUCGGAACAAAACAACCAUCUUCAUAAAUUUCCCUAAAAAAAUUCAUCACCUCAUCCUUAAUGAACUCCCGUGAAAACUGCUAGAAAGCCAUGGAGAAACCAUCCAGGCUUGAUGCUUUGUCUCUACUAAAAUCCAAUAAUGCGUUACAAAUAUCCUCCUCUAUAAAAGGUUUCUCCAGCCCUUCCGCCUUCAGAGCUUCCAACCUUUCAAAAGGCGGACCACUUAAGUUGGGUCUACACUCACCACUAGCUAAGAGCAACUUCUAGAAAGCUUUACCCACUUCUUCCUUAAUAUCAUUGUCCUCAAUGAUCCACGUUCCAUUAAUUUUGACUCAAGCCAUCUGGUUCCUUCUUUUGUGUGCAUUAACCAUUCAAUGGAAAAAACUUGUGUUUCUAUCCUCCUCCUUCAGCUAGAUUUCCCUUGAUUUUUGUCUCCAAGACGUCUCUUCUAAAUUGUAAUUCUCCCAAGCUUCCCUCCUAGAUUCCUUCUUUUCCAAAGACAGUGAACCACAACUCUACACUUCAUCCCGAAAAUUCACAAAGUUUAAGGCCAAAACCUCCUGAACUUCAAUCUUCCCAAACACUUCCUUGUUCCAACUUCUCAAAAUAGGUUUAAAAGCUUUCAUUUUUUCAGCUAGAAUCAAGCUAGCAGACCCACUAAAAUUAAGCCCCUCCCACCACAAUCUCAGAACAUCUUUAAAACCCUCCUCUUUCAACCACAUAUUUUCAAAUCUAAAAGGAGUAGGACCUCUCCUCACCCCUCCCCCAUCAAGAAGAAUUGGACAAUGGCCGGACACCAGUUUAGGAAGGACACACUGGACUGCUCCAGGAAAAGCAACCUCCUAGUCAUCAAAGAUUAGGAACCGAUCAAUUCUAGACUUAGAUCGAUUACUUAAACUGCCACUUCAAGUAAACUGACAUCCCUGAAAGGGAAAAUCCCUCAAUUCUAAGUCCUCAAUUACCUCUAAUAAUCUCCUCAUGGCAGGGGACAAACUACCACCUCUACUACACUCCAAAGGGUAUCUACUCCUGUUACAAUCACUUACCACACACCAGGGAUCACUCCAUAAUCCUUUAAUAACCCCCAGUUCUCCCCAAAAACCUUCCCUAUCCUUCUUUAGUGUGGGUCCAUAAACCCCAGUGAAGCUCCAACAGAAACCAUCUUCACAGUUCUAGAAAUGACAAGAAACUGAGAAAGUUCCCAUUUCCAUCUCCAAACACUGUAACACCUUGCUAUCAUCCCACCCCCACAAAAGGGGGGUAUACAAGAAAAUCAUAUAGAAAGCUAAACGACAAAGAAAAAGGACUAUGAAAACCAGAGUCUUCCUCCAAUCAAUAGACCCUGAGCUGUCUAAAAAAUUCUGAAAGGAACUAAUUCUUCCUCUAUCAGCCUUCAAUGCUCACACAUAGAGUGACAGGAAGGGAACCUCCUUAAACUUCACUAUUGAGACCUCAGCACCCUCAACUAUCCUCUUAUUCCCCUCUCUAUAUACACCACGACACACAGAAAGAUGCUAUCCUCUGGCAAAUCUGCCAGACAACAGGCUGCUUACUACCAAUUUCUGGCAGCAUCCAUAUCACAAUAUACAAAACAAGGAUCAAACACUCCAAGGCCUUGGCCUACAAGUCAGCAGAUUAAGAAAUGCAGGCCAUCUCUGAUCUGCAAAGAGAGAACCAGCGAGCAUCCAACCUCUCAUCCAAAGUUAGGUCUUUGUAAAGCCUCCUAAAUGGCUCUAUAAGCAAAAAAAGCCACCUUCCCCAGACUAUGUUAACAUUGACAAUUUCUUAAAGUGAAUAUUUUUAAACAAUAGGGAUCCUGUUAAAUUUUGAAAAAUAAAAAUCCAUAACUAUUCAUGCAUAAAAGCAGCACUAGAUAUAACAUAACUUUGGGUUUAUCCAUUGAAUUUUUUCCCAAAAAUAUUAUUUUAGUUAUAACUUGUAUUAUGAAAAUUAAGGGAUGGCUGCAACCUGUAGUUUCUAUACCUAGUGGUAACAAUUUUUCCAUUUUUGAUGGGCAAACAAAAAAAUUAUUAGAAGAGCAUAAAAGACAUAGAAUCUAAGUACACAAGAUGUAUAUAGGAACACCAAAGGGAAAGAGAGAAAGCAAAUAAAGAAGAGGUAAGACAAUGACUACAAACUGAACCCCAAUCCAAUCCUAUUAAUGAAAUCAAGAUGCAUUAUUAGCAUUCCUCAAUAACAAUUCUAGUUGGAUACACUAGUGCAUAUCCACAACAAAGUUUUUAAUGCUGGUCAACGGAACAUCUUCCGGUUUCUUUCAUAUUUCAAGUGGGUUGAGACAAGGGGAUCCUUUCUCUUUUUUUUAUUUGUUCUAGCCAUAGAGGCGUUUGGUUGUCUAUUGAAGAGAGCCAAGGAGGGAGGUUAUGUGUCAAGUUUUAGGGUUACAUUUAUUGAAGACUAUCGAUGCGGAAAAGACAAUAUAUUUCCUAAUGAGGGAGGCUUACAUAGAUUAGAAGUACUUUGUCGAGCAAGUCAAUCUAUUACAUGUCUUUGUUUAUAAUCCCUAGAAGGUCAAAUUGAGGUCAAAGAAUAUUUAAGGGAGUUUUUUAGGGAGGUGGGACUUUGGAGAAAACGCAUAAAUAAGAGAAAAGGGGGUUUGAGCAUUAGAAUUCUCUCUUUUUUGAAUUAGGCCCUCCUUGGCUGGAGACAUGUUUCUAAUAGGGAAGUUUUUUGGAAGCACAUUAUAGAGGGGAAGUAUGGGAACGAAGGAGUGCGUUAAAACCUUUGUGAAGUUGGAGAUGGUUAUGGGGUUGGUAUUUGGAAAGCUAUAAGUAAGGGUGUGGUUUUUUCUUUAGUAUAACUUCCUUUGAAGUGGAUAAUGGUAGAAGGGUUAAAUUUUGGACACAAAUGGCAUGCGGAGGAGCCCUGUGUAAUUCUUUUUCCCACUGUAUGCAUUGGCUUCGUUAAAGGAGGCUCGAGUGGCGGAUUUAUGGGAAGACUUGGGAGAGUAGGGACAUUGGAUUUCAUGCUUCACUAAGCACUUUAAUAACUUGAGUUGGACAUUGUUGAGACCUUUUUGCACGCUUGCACACCAGUCUAGUACACCCCACCCCUGGAAUAAUCAUGCAGAGAAUAAACAGUUGUUGGCCCUUACCUUUUAAACUAAAGGAUGGGAUUUAGUAAAGUUGGGGCCAUUUGCUGAUCAUUUUGAUAAUCUCAUUACAAUUUAGGAGCUACAAAUAUGAUGAAGUUGAGUCACUUAAACAGGUUUAUCAACAUAAGCUACAGAAUUUCACCAGUUGAAUUGAAGUUCCCUAUCUGUUUUUUCACUUGAAUGAUUCAAGGAACUAAAUGAGUAACUGUGGGCCAAUAAACAGGGGGUUUAAGAGCCAAACAUUCAGUAAUUCCCUGAAACCAAUCAAAAUGCAGUAAUUUUGAUAUCAGUGUAGAAUUAAUCCAAGCCAUUCUUGCAAAUUGAUGAUGGAUUUUCUUGAACUAAUUAUCAAAUUCCCAUUUUUCGAAACUACAAGCUCAAUUUGGUCUGGCAUCCCACAAAAGUAAAUUAAUUCAUAUGAAUUUCUAUGAAAUACUUUAAACCAUUAGACCAUAAUCUUCAAAGAAUAUAGAGAAUUAUAAGCUGUAAAUAAGAAACAAAAAUUUGAAAUCACACUUAUAAACAUAUAAAAAAUAUAAAAAUAUAUGCUGUAAAUAAGGAAAAAAAAAAUUGAAAUCACACUGAUAAACACAGGUACACAUCAAAUGCUUGGGGUAUUACAAUGACAACUUAGCCAACAUAUCUAUUCUAAAUAUCAAAAAUCAGACAAAAACACAUUUUGAUAUCUGAACAAUUCUAAAUAUGUGAACAUCUCAUUAUUUAUAGCCAACGAAGGUAGUGCCUGACCCAAACCAGACUAAUAAGCUGGAACAUGCCAGCAUCAAAGUUACACUCAUAUCAAUGUAACUUCUAUCACAGAAGUCUAGUUCAACCAUUUUAAGAAAUCUCAUUGCUUGGUUCUACCGUUCUCUCUUUUUGGUGUGUUGUGGGUGCUUCCCUCCUCGGUUAGAGUAGCUUUGUUAGGAUGACAUGGUUUUUUUGUGGGUAAGAAAAGAAAAAAGGCGUGGCAGGCUGCUCCUUUAUGACUUUUCUGGACUGUUUGGAAGGAAAGAAAUAGUAAGACAUUUGACAAUGAGGGGUGGUCCAUUCAAGGGUUGAAAUUCUCCUUCAUUUGUAAUCUUUGGGCUUGGUGCAAGUUGUAUAUAGUUCCUAGUCCUCCUUCCUUUGUAGACUUUGUGGAGUGGUUGGGUUUGGGCUAAGGGGGCUGUUGAUGGUGUUCCUCUUUGUUUUUGUGUUGCCUUGAGGUGUUUCUUUGUAUACAUCUUGUGUACUUUGGAAUGCCUUUUUUGGCCUUACUUUUUAUAAAAUGUUUCUGUUUACCUAUCAAAAAAAAAAAAGAAAAGAAAUAUCAUUGCUUGGAGACUUGGGUAAUAGGUGCAUAACAAAUCAAACAAGGACUCCAUCUAAUGAGUGGAUAUGAAUUUGCAUCUAAGACAUAUCUAAUAUCCUUAUCCAAAUCCAAUAAUGUCAACAAUGGGUAUGGUAUAAGGGAAAGGCCAGGGCAUAACAGAUCUGGACAUAUCAAAUGCAUGAUGUUGGGCUUCUCAUACACGAGUUUGGUAGGUGGUACAGAAUGCCUCCUUUAUCUCCAGUUUGUUUCAUCAGUUUACUUAUACACCAUAUAUAAAACAAUAAAAUCCACAAGACCCCUAAAACAAAGCUAGAUAAAAAAAACCAUAGGGAUUAGUUCGCAGAUUAAAAAUAAAUAUUCAAUAACAGAGAGCUGUCAAAGGGAAAUAAACUUACAUCUGGGGUUUUAGACUUUCUAGGGAAAUGAGGAAGGGUUCGAUCUAUAAAUCCAUCAGGAGCACGACGACCCCCAACCGAUUGCUGACCUACACAUGCAAUCAUUUGGCUAAUAUUGAUAGGAGAUCCUUUGGAACCACAUUGGGACAUAAUCAAAGGGCUAUUCCUCCAAUGUAGUUCUUCCAUGCAAACCUAUUGCAAAAAUUAAAGAACAAAUUAAGUUGCUUCCUUAAAAAUACUUUCUAUACCUUAGUUAAAAGUAUAUAACAAUUAAAAAUCAGUACAAAAGAAACGAUAUAAGUACAACAAGUUAUUACAACAUAAAUCUAUUAUUCAAAUAAAUGCUUCAGUAAAAGAACAUACAAAGGAAUGAUUUAAACGAGACACUUGAGAUAUUUUCCGACAAAGAUACAAUUAGGGAAUGCUAUAAAAUAAGCCUAAAAUUGAUCCUCACAUUCGCAGUUGUUUCUCGAAUUUUAUUUAAUACACCAGUUAUUUCGGCUUCAAGAGUUUGGGCAGCAUUGCAACCAGGUUGAAGUUUCAGCUUCCCUUUAUUGUACUGCUGUAUUAGCUCAUGACAAUUUUCAUAUCCUUCCUCAAUCCUCUUACUUUUCUGGUCAUUCAAAAGCCCUCCUGGUUGAACAUCAUCAAUCCCAAUUGAGAAGCCAUGAUUCCCUAUCCACCGAGCACUGAAACCAAGCCAAUAGUAAGAUGGCAUAUAUGAAUGAGAAAAUGGUGCAACUUCUUUCUUUUGUUAAAAAUAGUAUCCAAAGCUACCUAAUACUGAUUAAUUAUCAAGAUAUAUAACAAUGAUAACCUUGAUUGAAAAAAAAUAAAAAUUGUUGCCAUUAACCAUUCACAUGGAUAAUUAAUGAUCAUUAGGCACACCUAGGAAUCAGAUGACAUGAUGAGCAAACAUCAUUUUGGCAAACAUUCUACAGUAACCUAAACUAUAAAGGAAAACCUGUAUAACACCAUCGAUGCUAAUGUAUUAAAAUAAUUAAAAUUAGCUUGUCAUGGGAACAAAUCAUGAAUUAACAAUUGUCGGAUCAUGGUAACUAUUUAGUAGAUAUACUAUCAUCAGAACUAGAUCACAUUUUUAACAAAUUUCAAAACUUCUAAAAAAUUGGAAUGCUGGUAAUCAUUUUAACUGAAACAACCAUCUUCAUUUAUCUUAAAAGAUAAAUACAAGAAGGACAACCUUCAAAGAUUAAUAGUUACAUAUAAGUGUAAGUUUAUAACAACUAAAGGAGUUUUUCACUCAAGUAUUUUGGUAUUUCAACUAGUAAGUAGGGCACUAAUAAAGGUAGAGUAACAUGUGCAAUAAAAUGUAAUUUAGUGUGUACAUUAUGGUCAUACUUGGUUGGCUAGAUCUGUGGGAUAGGAUAAAAAAUAAGAUAACAUAUCUCAUCCCAUAUUUAAUUGGUGAUGAGAUAAGAAUGUUAGCUCAUCAUUCACCCUAUCUUAUUUUCAAUCAAAGAUAGGAUAUGAUAAGUGAUGUAAUAACUUAUUGAUUUUUUUUUAUAUCCUCUCCACAUAGGAUAUAAUAAUCCUAAGAUAUGGGAUAUAACCCAUAUCCCCAUGAAUCAUAAAUUUAUUACGCUCAUCAAUCUUCUUUCCUUUUAUUUAUUUAUUUUUUCUUCUGUUUUUUCAAUUUUUUAUAUUUUUCUUUUUGUAAAACAGAAAAAAAAAAAUUAUCAAAAAAUCAAAUUUGUAUUCCACAAAGAAAAGAAUAAAAAAGAUAUGUAUAUAAUACAACCUAAGAUAACACGAAUAUAAUAUUUAAUAUUAUAGAAAAUAACUUUUUUAUAUUUAACAAUACAAUUUAAUAUUUUUUAUUUAUAUAUUUUAGACAUUUUAAUCAUCAAUGUGAUUAACAAAAAAAAAAUUAAUUACUAAAUUAUAAAUUGCAGAAUGAUUUCUAAAUAACCCUAAACAUGACAGAGAUUUCCCUUUUUUAAAAAUAGAAAUAUUUCUAUUUAAAAAUUAUCAAACAUUGAAAUGCAAUAUAUUUUAUAUUCCAUUUUUUAUUUUUUCAACAAACCAAAUAUGAGCAUGAUAUAACAUAUUCUAUCAAAUAUAAUAUCCAAGGAUAUCGUGGCUCAUUGGAAAUAAUAUCCAAGGAUAUAUAUAUAUAAUCCUAUCUGAUCCUGAACCAAACAUAACCUAUAUUUUAGAGGAACCAAGGACUCAAUGCUGCUAGAUACAUAACUAUGAUCCUGAAAGAACUAGCAUCAACAGAGUACAGAAAACCAUUGCAGUGUAUUUAACUUAAAGCAUUACUGGAAAGAGUCAAGUUCAAAACAUUUAAGAAACCUCACCAUGUUUAAAAUAAACAUGAACUUCUACAUGAAAAUGCAGAUGUUCAUGUAUGUACUUAAAAAGGAUAAACCAAAGAUUUAAUAAAUAGCCAUCACAUCCUGUUGUGCUUCAACAAAAUUGAAGUAAAAGGUGAUCUGUGAUCACCAAUCAAAACACAUUUGUUAAAAGGUUACCUCAAUUUUGCCAGACGAUUCAUACAAGCAGCAGCAGCAUGUGCAUUAUAGUCCCUAAGAAGAACAGAGAAAAGACCGUCCUUGUUGCCAUUUCCUACAAACAUAAUAUUGAUUUUUCAAGAGUGAAAAACACACAGACUAAUAAGUUCAAUACAAAUAUUUUCAUAGCAUUCAGGUCAAAUAGUCCAUUCAGGAAGUUACUUGUUACUCCCCUUUAUGUGACUUGACAAUCGUUUCUUCAUUGCCCAAUGUUACUAGCAACUUCCCACUUUAAGUGUACUACUGUCACUUUUCCCCUUCUCAUUGUGCUUUCAGGAAAAUAGGGAGAGUUAAGGUCAACAGCCAUGAGAAAUGUGGAAUUUCAUUGGAUCCUCCAGUUUGUUCUUCAGCUAAAGCUUAAUGCCCACUCAUUAGUAACAAUAAGUGAACUAAGUGACACAUUCACUUAGAUAACUGAUCUUUUCAGUUAUGAUUUUGUGAACCUUAUGAGCUUGAUAUACGUUGUAAUUAAUCUUUACCAUCUAUUAUUACUCCUGUUAAUGCUUCAGCACCCUCCCUUGUUACCUCAUUGUCCCACUUAUGUAAAAUUUGGGGAAAACUGUUUUCAUUUCAUAUGGAUUUACAUUUAAACAUAAGAAUGUGAGUUUACUGUGUUUAAAUCCUCAGAAAAAAAUGAUGGCCACCCAAUCCGACACAAUUACCAAUAGCUCUACCACAGCAAGGAUGUAAAUAUACAUUAUUUUCUCAACAAAAUAAAGGAUGUUAUGCUAGUUAAAAUCCAGAACAUGGAAGCUUAAAUACAAGACACAUGUAUGUGAGGGGGAAAACCUUGAAAUGUAAAUCAGGUAGAAGCUUCAGAUAGGACAUUUGCAAAUUGUACUUUCACGGAAGAUAAUAUAGUACCAUGGCAUAGCUAGGAACAAUGCAUGGCAGCUAUGUUCAGCAAAGAAGUACAGUUCAAAGUUCAAACCAAUGAAUCAUGACCUUUUUGUACCUAGGUCGUUGAAUAUCCUGCAAGGAGGACUGGUCUUGAAUUGAAUUCUCUUAACUUGUCUUUGAUAACAAGAGACUACCUAUUCCUGGAUGAUACAAAUAAACCCUGUGAAAGGACCUAACAGCAACUUGCUGAAAUCCACACCAAGAGAACAGUUACCUUGGAUUUUUUAUUUUUAUUUUUAUAAGUAACAGUUAAUUUGGAUUAUGAACUAUAAAGAUCUUUUUCUCUAGGCAAACUAGAGAUUUAUUUUAAAAAGAUCUUACACCUAUCAAAAAAAAAAAAAAGAGGGCAUGCCCUAACACAUAAGAGGUAUACAGAAUGCACCAAAAGCAGUAGCUAACCAAAACAAAAAUAGAAGUUUUAUAGUGGUGUAGCACCUUCUCAAGCAAUCAAUGAUCUCUAGAAAAGCAAGGGUAGCCACCCUUCAUGAAUUCCUAAACCAUUCAAACAAAAUUGAGGAAAGACUCUUCUAAUGCCUGAUUAGAGCACUCUAGAUCUUCAAAAAUGCAUAAAAAAAAGCACAAAGGAGUAGUCCUCCUCACUUCUAUGCACCUCUCAAAGUUAAAGACAUUUAAUAUACAUGCACUAACUUGACUACUUGAGGCAUUGGACAUACUAUAGUUUUAUGCAAAACAAUUUUUGGUUAUCCAUAUGUCAAUACAUAGACAAGAAGAGUGAACAAACUGUAGAUUGAAUCAGUAACCAAUUCCUUUUUUUUUUUUUUUUUUUUUUUUUUGAUAGGCAUCAGUAACCAAUUCCUACUCAUUUCGUCUCUUCAAAUUUUUCUUCCUUUUUUACUUCUAUUCAAACCCUGCCAACCUGGAAAAACAAAUAAACAAUAAAAGAAACAUGGGGGUGCAUUACCCAGGUAAUCAUUGAAGUUAGAAUUGGGAGACUGUAAGCGUCUCCCAUAGGGGGGGCACAGGAGCCAUCUUCUGAUUCUUUACAAAUCAAGGCCAGCUCAGAUUGACUCCUCAAGUAGUGUCCUUCAUAGGCUUUAAUCCAUUCAAGACAGAAUAAAUCUCAGGGAAGAGUACAUUGAUAACAUGGGAGAGAUGACCACCACAGAGAAUUGAGAGUGGAGAGUAAAAUAAUUCAAUCAAAAAAGGAAGUAGGUAACAGACUUUUCAGUUGCAAUCAUGAGAACAACUUUCGAGUGUUGAUUCACAUCUGGGAGACAGUGGACCAAAAUCAGUUUCAAGAGAUCUGUAAUGUUUUGAGCAUGACCAAUAUGUAUACUCCAGUUUAUGGAAGAGUGUUAAAAAAAUGUCAGCCUAUUGUUAUGUAGUGGUUGGUGCAAUUUUGCAAUUCCAUGUUCUGAUAGAGAAUUAUAUAUGAGUAGUAGGUUAAAUUCAAACCCUUUAAAACUCUUUUUUUUUUUUUAUAGGUAAUAAACUUUUAAAACCUUUCCCUUCAAAUAUUUUCUUUUCCAACAAACUUAAUGGCAAAAGCCUUGGCAAACAAUUGAACAAUCAAAAAUUUAAACUUCCUAUAAAGGAAGUCCUAGACACCUCACAUAUUUGCUGCUUAUCCAACAAUAUUUGACAAAUCAGAAUAUGUAGAAAAGGAGAAAAAGGAGAAACCUCACCAAUCAAGAAUUACAGCUGAGCUUUAAGAAAUAAACAUGUCCUAACAAACAUCACCAGAUAUUUCGUAAAAAGAAGCUAAAUAUUGUGGGACUGUUGAUUAAAAGCAAAUAAUCCAUGAAAAUGGAAAUAUGUUAGAAAUGGACAGGAAACGGACCUAAAGUAGCCUUCCCAAGUUGCCCAGAUAUUAGUUCGCUAUUUCGGAAAUAGACAAACCCAUCACUAGGACACAUUGUUUCUUUUCCUCUACGCUUGUUGUAGGUUUUCUCCAUGACAGUAAGAUUCAGAUAGACUCUCACAUUUGCAUGAGGGCGCAGUAGAACAUUAAAUAACUGUUUACCAGUCCACAGCUCCACUGGCUGCAAAAACAAAUUUGCGUUCAGACCAAAUGGAGAGUAACUCCAAAGAUGCAAGAAACACAGCAUUUAACAUUUAAGGGCUAAAAUCACUCAAUGCUUUAAAACAUAGUUUUCAUCUAUGAAAAGACAUUUUGAAAAAUAAUGAGACCAUAAAAGAAAUUUUUGCUACUAAGACCAAAGAAUGAUGUCAUAUAGAAACUCCACAAGCACAGUUCAAAUGCAUAUUUUACUAACAUGGUUUAUAGAUAAUGGGCUCUAUAGAUGCCAAUGAGUAUGGCCAUAAUCUAUCAACUGAAUUUGGUUUCACAAUUGAGACUUUCCUCACACAACAGAUUACUUCCCUCGGUUGACGUAUCUAGUGGUUUAGAACAUAUCAUAGAUCUCCCCUAUAAAGGGAAAUGAAAAAUGUAUGUGUCUCUUGCAUCACCUUCAACUCUAAGAAACCAUCUUAGCUGCACAAGGCAUUCAAACUAAAAGUUAUUUAGAAAGAUGAGCUUUUCAAGGCCUUCACCUUUUACACCAUGGCCUAUCUGCCAACAUCAUCUACAAGAACAAUUAGAAUUGUACCUAAACACAAAGGUUCCAAUAGAAAUCAAAAUUCCAAAAUAGAGAGGAAAAGAACAGAACUAGAAGAGAAUAAACAGGAAAAUUUUGGGUCUUCAAAACAACUGGAAAUUGAAGCUUAAGAGGUCAAUCUAUCAUAUGUGCUCCCAAAAACAAUUUUUCAUACCAUCUCCAAGAGAGAAACAAGUAAUAUUAGAGAAAUCAAUGAAAGCUUGACCAAUAGUUUUCCAAGGACAGUGGUGCAACCACCUUACCAUAAUGUUGGCAUCCCAACAAUUGGAAUGUAGCCAAUAAAUGCUUACAAUGAUUCUAUGCUUUGAAGCAUUGUUCUCCCAAGGAAAACUCCACAGCCAAUUACCAAGAAGGGCUCUACUCCUUAAGAAGAUCUUAUGUAAUUUCAAACCUCCAUCUCUUUUCAAUUUGCACACAUGCUCCUAAUCAACAAGGUAGUCUAUCAUCUAUUCCCCCAAUCCUUACCAAAGAAAAUCCCCUUGCAAUGUCAAAGUCAUAGACACCACUUUUACUAGGCUCUUGGAAAUAGAAAAGAAAUAGAUGGAUAUAGAAGAUAUUAAGAAAAAAAAAAGGCACCUACAAAACGGUAUCACACCACUUAAGGACAAAAAGACUAUCUUACAAUCAUCCAUGUAAUAGGAAAUUGCAUCCAAAACCUAGUCUCAAAACAAUGCAGCUUUUGGUUUUUAACUCUCAAAAUCAAUGUGCUCAACAAAUCAACAACAAUGGUGAAAAAAAAGAAAAUAGGGUCACCUUAUAUUGACCUAUAGAUGCUUUAACCCAAAAAAAGUAAUAGCUUAUAAACAAUCUCAAAUCCACCUCCACUUUGAGCUAAAACCUAUCCUUACUAAAGAAUGGCCUUAGAAAACUCAAUCCACAUAAUCACAUGCCUUCUCAAAAUCUAUCUUGAAAACUACUCCUUCACUUGAAGGUCACCUUUCAUCUUCCACUAAGACCGUAGACUUUCUUGAAUAAGAACUCCUCGUAAGGACCCUUAGAUGCUAUGAGAUAACACUUUUGCUAUGCUUUGUAGAGAUUAGUAACAAAUCUGGUGGAUCUAAAAUUUUGGUUGAUUUGAGUUCUCUUAGGUACAAAUACAAUGAAAGUGGCAUUGGACUCUUACUUGUAACCCCACUAUAGUAGAAUUUUAGCAACAACCUUCAACAUAUUCUCAUUGAUUGUGUCCCAAAAACCUUGAUAAAAUGCUAAGGAAUGGACCUAAAGCCUUUCCUUUAUCGAUUUGAAAACUACACCUUGAAUUUCCUUCACUUUGGAAAAUGAUAUUCUAACUACCUAGUAGUCUCCUUAGAAAUUAGGGACCAAUCUAAACAUCCCACCAUCAUAAACAUCCAAUUUGAUUUUGAAAGUCUACCAGGAAAGUUCAAAUUUUCAUUUAAUAUACCAUGCUUGUUGUCCAACAAUACCAACACCCUUUCUCCAAAUACCAAAGACUUGAUAAACUUCCUUUUUCUUCUCCUAAUUGCCCCAUUGUGAAAAAUACUUGGAAUUAAAAUCUCCCUCCUUAAUGAACUUCACCCUACCUCUUCUUAUUUGAUGCACCUUUAAAAGUUCUUCUAAGUCAAUCUUUCUAGUAUCCCUUAAUGCUACUAAUUUUGUUGUUAAAGCACCCUUCCUCACAGGAAUAUACCAUGGCAACAUCACUAAAGAUAGCAUCUCCUUCCUUAAUGUCCUUGAAAUUGCCUUGUUCCAAGUAUCCAAUUUUGCUUUCAUGAGUUGCAAUUUUUGCAUGCAUUUAUGACCCUCCCAUCCUUAGACUAGCACAUCACUUCACCAAGAGCCAACUUUAAAAGCUAAUGUGGAACAACCACAUUACUGUUAAAAACAUUUUCCACUCAUUAGAAAAUAGAUACCUAUUUGUGGCUAUGGAGGUUCCCUAAGGUAAGAUGUGGUAUUUGGCAUCAGGUUAUUGCAAGCAUUUAUGGAGACAUCCUAAUGGAUGAGACGUCAACAUUUUGGUUAAACGGUCACAUAGAUGUCCUUGGAAGGCUAUUGCACAAUUCUUUUAGGAAUUUGCCCCAUACACCCACUCUGUGGUGGGGAAUGGUGAGAGAAUCUAGUUUUGGGAAGAUUUAUGGUAGGAAAGUCAACCUUUGUGUUCCCAAUUUUUAGAACUCCAUAAUCUCACUGAAAAAUCUCACCAUCUCAAUCACCCUUGGUAAUUCCUACUUGUCUUACUGGAAUUUUAACUUCCAUUGCAAUCUCAUUGAUGCCAAAAUUGAUUCUCUUCAAAGACUCGUGUCUUCACUCACCUCGGUGCACUUGUCUCCCACCACCGCAAAUUCAAGGGCAUGGUCUUUGUCCUCCUCUGACUUAUUCUCAAUAAAAUCUUUCUUUUUGGUUCUGUCCAAUCCCUCAAGUCCAACCCCUUUCCAUCUAGCCAAUUUUGUUUGGAAAUCAAAAUACUCUUUAAAGGUAAAAGGUCUUUGCUUGGUUAGUGGUGCAUAAGAAGGUAAAUACCAAUAACUCACUAUAGGUGAGAAGACCUUAUAAUUUUCUUAGUCCUUAAUGGUGCAUUUUAUGCAAAGGAAAUGAAGAAUAGAUUAACCAUCUUUUUCUACAUUAUCUUUUAACUUUGGGACUUUGGCAUAAGCGUUUCAGUUUAGCCAAUAUGGUUUAGGUGUAACCUAGGAGCACCGAAGAUAUGAUGAUUAUCUCUUUUAGAGGAUUAGGUAAUUCAAUAAGAGACAAGACACUUUGGCAAAUCACUUACCUCAUUAUUCUUUAGAUUGUGUGGCAAGAGAGAAAUGCUAGGAUUUUUUAGGAGAAGUGGAGAAUCGAAGAGACAUGGGAUCUACUUCAUUUCUACUCAUCCCUUUAGGCCUCUUGUUCCAUUGCUUUUAGGGGAGUUCCACUUAAUGUUAUUCAACUAAGUUGGCUUUCGGUUUGUAAUUCAAAAUGGGUUGAUAACAUUAAAAGGAGUUGGUUUCAGUUUGUAAGUAAUUUUGUGUAUGCCUGUGUUUAGUUAACCUCAUAUAGUGGAGGAGUCUACUCUUACUUUGAUCAGGUUUUAUAUUCUAUGAAAAGGAUCUCUCAUCCUUCCCUCUUUCCUUUAUCAAUAAAAAUUUAUUUUUAUUUCUAAUUAAAUAUAUAUAUAUAUAUAUAUAUAUAUAUAUAUAUAUAUAUAUAUAUAAAGGAAUUUUGCAGUUUGACCAAGGGAAGGCAACAUUUUUCCAGAGGGAAAUUGAUUAUUUCACAACCCCCCUGCCCCACAUACCAAAGAAGUGCUUAGGCCCUCCUAAUUUUCCAGAAGUCAUUUUUCCCAAAAAGUGACACCUCUCCAAAAGUUUCUGAUAAUCAAAUGGACCAACCAACAUUUUUACAACAAUCUCCAUUCUAGUUUAUACAUUAAUACAUACAGCUCACCUCAAUGUCAAAUUCAGCAACAAAAAAGACUCUUAUCACCAAUAACAAGAUUUUUUUUUCCCCUUAAAAACACUUGCAUUACUCAAGUCAUCUAGGAUAGAACUAUAGUUACAUUUGCCUUCACCAAAUAUUAAAGAUACCAAGCAAUCUCUUUUAGGUCUUCCAAAAGUGCUAGAAUCACUAUUUUGACAACUGAACCAAACUGAGCUGGUUGCAAGAAACUGUCGAUUAUCUUGUCCUUAGGGUCUCUAAAGAGGUCACCAAUCCACAACUAAUCAUUUUUGGACGCAUAAACAGAUAAUUUAUAAAUGUUGCAUAUCUAAAAGGGGAGAUGAACUCCAACUACAUGCUAAGAAUACAAAGGGCAUAAUAAAAGAAAGACGAGAAGGCAAGAAGCAAAAAGCGACCACACAUGGCCUAGACUCAUCCUAUACAAUCCAAUAAGAUUCUCUAACCAAAGUCUAUCUCUAGACAACCAAACAAUAAUUUCAAGAAAAAGUCUCUUAGUAAUAAUCUCAACCAUAAAGUUCUCCUAUUAUACUCCUUCCAAAUACACUAAAAGAAGCAUAACAGCACCGCUUUCCAAACUUUAGAAUGCCUCUUCCCUAUAAAUCUACAAUGCUAAGAUAACAACAAAUCUUUAACAAACAUUGGGAUCAACCAAGAAUCCUAAAGAAGAGACGAAGGGAGGAAUCCAGGCAUUCCUAGAAUGGAUAACAACAGCAAUUGAUCCACCAAUUAGUUGCACCUUGCCACACCAUUCUUUUCAAGGAAUGCUUGUUCAGCAUCACCAACUAAAUAAUCUGCCUGAAUACCUCAACCAUUUGCAACUCACAAUCAUGAAAUUUUCUUUAAAAACAGGUAAUGCAACCAUAGGAGCCACAUCUGUCAUCCCAAAUAUCAGCUAUUCCAGUAUUCCUCAGAGAAGCAAUUCUAAACAAAGCAGGGAAUGAGACUAUAAGAGGCAACUUGCCACACCCACGAAUAAACCAAAAUUUGGUUAGCUGAUCAUCCCCAAUUGGAACUUGAUCCUAGAAGAGAGGUCUUCACACCCCUUUUAAUAGUUUUCCAGAGGACCACAUCAAAGCUUUCAUUACCUUCUCUGGAGCUUCAACGCUCAUCAAUUGCCCCAAAUUUCCCUAUAACAAUCUGCCUCCAUAAACACUACUUCUCUGCAGAAAACCUCCAUAACUACUUCCCAAUUAGAGACUUAUUUAACUAAAGCUCUCUUAACCCAACCCAACAUUCUCCUCCACGUUCAAUCAAGCAUUGAGAUUAGAGUAUACAUGAUCCAUGCCCACUAUGACAUGAUUUAUCACAUUAUAGAUUUUCUUGGGAGAAAAUGUAUGACAUGAUCUAGCAAACUCCUAGCUGCAUGCCUGUGAAUGGAAAAGCAAAACACACAAAAGAUCACUUCUUUCAAAUCAGAAGGUCAUCAUAAUACAGAAUCUACAUUCAGUUUUCCUUGCAUUCACAUUCUUUCACUCGAUGUCAAAAAGGAAAAGAAGAUGAAGAAGUGAGAACUGCAAACUAUCACAUUAAGAAGACAAGGAACCCUUUACUAUUUACUGCAAGCACUCCUAAAAAAUACGCAAUGCGUUAUAAUAAAAAGGUUAAAAUCAUCAUCAAGUAAAUGUAACUUGCCUUAAUUAUUGCUGGUGUUGGUAAAUCAACAAGAUCCAUGCCAUCACCCAUAUAUGAACACAUGAGCGAAAAAGCUGCGCGGUCAUAAAAAGUGUCCUUCCUCGUAAUCAGGAAGGAAGAUGUUAGAAAAUCUUGGGUCGAAGCAACCAAGAUCUCUCCAUUUUUUGGUGUACAUAAGUUAUUUUGCACCUAAAAAGCAACAAACACAGUUCUGAUCAGAACAGUAACAUAUCGAAUAAUAAAAGCAAAGAUAACUUCAAUAAUAAUUUCUGACCCAUGUUUAUGAGAUUAUAAAAUAUGACCAAACUUAAACCAAAAAUUGAUUCACCCAGAAAUGGACAUAUUGGUUUCUUAAGAAUAUGCAUAGAAUACCAAAAGGACUUAUUCAUGUUCAAGCAAGUUUUAACAAUACCAUUGCGACUGUUAUAGAUGUAGAGGUCUUGGUCCUCAUCCAGUAGGCAGUACUUGUAGAUUUAUGACUGAUGAUUAAACAUCAAUCCUCCAUUUUUGGCAAAUAAUAUACCCAAGACAAAAUGAAAGGAUGAUAGUAGUACAAAGCUUCUCCAACUAAAAUGAGAGAAAUAAAGGAGCAUAAUUUAACAAUUAUAAUGAUAUCCAAGAAUAUAUUCAGACCUUAAAGCAAAAGAAACAGGAGAGAUAAAAAGUUAAUGUUGAGACUAGUUUUUAUGAACCAAUUCCACCCACAGCCACAUCCACAAAGCCACCCAAAUAAAAUAAAAAAUAAAAAAAGACAACCCAAGAAUUAAAAGAAUAAUUGCAGUGUCAAGAGCUACUGAUGUAAAUUUAUCUACUAAGUGCAAUGAUUUUUGUAUUUUCUUUUUUUCUUUUUUCUUUUUUUCUUUCUUUUCCAUUUUUUUGACAACCCAGGGAACCACACCAUGGCAAGGUCCUUUGGAACUACCCAUGGUUACCAAACCCUGAGGUCACUGAAGGCACCUGCCACAGCCAGCACCAUGUAAUCCAAGGAUUCCCAGUGGCAGGGAUCAAACCCAAGAACAUGUGGCCCAGGCCAAAGGUUUGCUUUUGUAAGAAACACAAAAUGUUAGAUACUUAUGCCCACAGCAAUGAAGUAGUUUAUAGCUGUAAAAACCUCUUGCUUUAUAAGAAAAUUGAUAUUUAAAAGUGUUAGAAAGGGUGUUUGAAACAUUUGGGCUUCAGGAAAAUUAAGAAAGGAUAAGGAAAGACAGCUACACAGCUGACCCAAGUGUCAAUCAAACUAAGAAUUCUGAUCUAGAGUAUUUCUUUUCCCCUAUUUUAAUAGAUAAUUCAGACCACAAUGUUACCAGAUAUCAUGCAACACAGAAGCAACGCUACAAAGCGUAAGUCCAAGUCAACGCAGGUCAAUCCCCUUUCUACAAACAUUAUUUGGAAUCUGUGGGUCCUGUCUAAAGUGAGCUUUUUGCUUAGGAAGCCAACUGGCGAAAAAUUUUGAUUUUAGAUCAACUUCAAAAAAGAAGGCAGCCACUAGCAAAUAAAUGUUUUCUUUGUAAACUUGAGUAGGAGUCUAUUGAUCAUAUUCUAAUUCACUGCAAAGUAAGGAUUCCAUGAAAACUGUUGUUCUCCUUAUUUAGUGUAGUUUGGGUGAUCCUUUCUUCAGUGAAAGAUACUCUAUUGGGUUGGCAUGGUUCCUUUGUAGGAAAGAAAAAGAAAAAGGUGUGGAGAGCUGCCCCCCUUUGCAUUUUUUGAAUAAUUUGGUGGAAAUGAAAUCAAAGAACUUUUGAAAACAAAGAACGAACUUAUUAAGAGAGAAAAUAUUUGUUUCUUUGUAAUCUUUCAGCUUGGAUUAGCAUGUACAUAGGAGAAGGCUCAAUGCCUUUGAUUGAUUUUAUAGAUUGGGUGGGGCCUCCCUUAGGAUUUUUGGUUUUUGACCUUCAACCGCUAAGUUUGUUGCUCCGAGAUGGGAGGUUGGUGGAUCUCAAGAGAAGUGCAGAGAAGGAUUCCUCAGGUAAGGAUUUGAAAGUUAGUGCUGAGGAAGGGGAGGCCACUAAAGCAAUGGAAGCUUGUCGUGUUUCAAAGGAGGAGAAGCUUGGCUCUGUUAGCCUUCCUGAUAAUUUAGUCAAGUUCAGUAGCUUUUUGGGUUUGCCAAUGGUGGGGGUUGAAAAAGAAAUCAACUACCUUUUGAGGAAAUUGGAGUCAAGAAAAGGUCAUGGGGUCAAAGUCGCAGGGGGAAAGAGAAAUUUGUUUUUGGCUACUCAGUUGGAGAGGGAGAUAUGAAAACUAGAAUGCUCAGUCAAUUACAACUACUCUCAGAUAGGGGAAAGGGGAGGGCCAGUGGGAUUUCAGUUCCUUCGUUAUGAGGCCGCCUUUUUCAUUUACAACUUGGUUGCAGGUUUUUGAUUUCAGAAGGUCUCAAGGGUGUUUUCUAUUAUGUGCUAGCUUUAGGAGUCUCUUUUUGGUGGUGUUAGUGUUUUUGCACUGGUCCUUCCCACCAGGGAAUGUCCGGUUGUUCUUAGGGUGCUGUGGUUUGGCUAUUUUCAGGGUGGUUGGUAUUUACUCUUCCCUCUUCUCUCUUGAUAGCCUUUGAGCAUAUGUUGUAUACUUCGUGUGUACUUUUUGAUGCACCUUUUUGCUAGCGCUUUUUAAUAUAGUCUCUCAUUUACCUAUCAAGAAAAAGAGAAUUGAGUGGGGUCUUGCUGAGAGUAAGAGUGGUUUUCUGUCAUUUCUUGUUUGUGACCUUCCUUUGGGGCACCCAUGUAUACACCCUGGGUAGUUUAGUGUACUUUUUUCUAUUAUUAGUUAAUAAUAAUAAUAAUAAUAAUAAUAUAAAUGGUUAGAAAAGUUUGACUUUUUGACAGUUCAAAAAGUCAAAAAUUAAUAGGGACUAAAUGGUGGUUCCUAUUGAAUCAUAAACAAAGAUCAAGAAAGAAGAUGGCCACUGACAGGCACAAAUCUAAACAAGAGUGAGAACUAAUAGCAUUUACCCCCAUCAACAUAAGAGCCUCCGUGCGAGCUUCUUCUGUCUGUGGGACAUGCAUAUUCAUUUCAUCACCAUCAAAAUCUGCAUUAUAUGGGUUGCAAACUGAUUCAUUAAACCUCAAUGUUCUCCAAGGCAUUAUCCGCGCCUACAUGCAUAAAUAAGAAAACUUAAUUAAAUGUUAAAAAAAGAACUUCAAAUGAUACCUAUUUGUACACUUAAAAUCAGUUUUAAUCACCCUAUGGCACAUGAUUGACAUCCGAUGCAAACUUGGUUGUCUGUUAAAAAGAACAACAUCGCCAUCUUCCAAGUGACGCUCAACUAUGUAACCAUAUUUCAGUUCAUCAGCAAAGCGCUUUCUGCCACUAAACAUCAAAGACCUGCAGCAUAAAACAAGUGAUUCCACCACAUCAACACAAGAAGCAUUUGCCAAUGACAGAGAAACAAUUAAAAAUGAUCCUUACCUCAUAGAACCAUCAGGAUAUCUGAUAAGCUUCGCACCAGGGUAUUUAAAAGGACCAUUGAGAAUGCAUUGUCUCAGCUUCUCUAUAUUGUGAUGAGAAACACGUUCAGGAUAACUUAAGAUCUUAGCCAUCAGGAUGGGGAUUGCCACCUAGAGACAAUAGAUCCAUUUGAUUUCCAAAUAAACAGCAGGCACAACAAAGCAGCCCAAAAAUCAAUGAAGCUUUUAGUAAAGCAUCUGACCUCGGUAAUUUUUAGAUUAGGGUCAGGCGAUAUAACAGUCCUGCCAGUAUACUCAACACGCUUCCCAGACAAGUUCCCACGAAAACGCCCCUGCUUCCCUUUGAGGCGCUGAACGAAACCACUCAAUGGCCUGGCAGCUUGCAUAGCUAGUGGAACACCACGAACAUCACUGUUGAUAUACUGGGCAACCUCAAUUUGAAGAUAAUCCCAACCAGCCUAAACAAACAUCUCCAGCAUAAGCAUUGCAUGAUCAUAGAAUCUGGGACCAACAAUAUAACUACAAACUUUUCUAAAAACAAUAUAACUACAAUCCCACUUUUAAGUUCUCAAAAGACUGAAAGAAGAUUCCAAUAAAGAAAGUAACAGAAAUAUAUGAAUACCAUGUGACGCAUAAAAGAGAUACUUAAAAAACAAAUAAAAGAUGUCAACCACUUUCUUCAAAGACACAAGAAGAAACAAAAAAAUAGAAAAAAAAAAAAAAAAAUAGAAAACCAAUCAGAAUAUAAAAAUAGGUUAGGAGUUCAAACAAGAGGCAAUUCAUAAAAAAGAAGAGCACAAACCCAAUGCUAACUAUCAAGGACAACUUCUUAUCUAUAAAACAAGAAAAGGCAACUUCAACGUCCAAAAAAUGAAAAGGGGAAAUAAUACAUUAAGGAAUCAUGUGAAAGUCCAUCAAGAAAAAAAAAAUUGAACAAAUAUGAACAGACACAUAAAAAGGAAAAAAGGAAUCAUCAUGCAACAAUAUUGAUAUCAAAGAAAAUUCUGCAGGGAAGAGGGUAGAAGGUCAAAAUCCUCCAUACCAGACAUUUGGAUGUGGAGCCUGUGUCCUGUAACUCUUGAUGAAGGCUAGCAUUUGCUUGAAUAAUCCGCUUUAGCCUCUCAGUAACAUCAUUUUCAUUGCUGCAAUAGCAAAAAAAGAGACUUUUAAGCAUUAUUAAAAGCACUAGAAAGCUACAAAAUAAAGAAAAUUUAUCCACAACAUGCUUAUGCAACACAACAAACAAAGAUAUUAUUAAAUUUAUGCUGAGCAGACCUCUGUGUUCCACCAUCCAUAAAAACUGAAGGACGAAUAGCGAUGGGUGGCACUCCAAUGUUCGUUAAAACAAGUUUUUCUGGUCUUUCAGCAAGAUUAAGCAAAUCACAAUCCUGUAGCACAAUCAAUUGAAGAAUACAUUAUACUAAUAAGAAAUGCAAUGUAAUUAUUACAACUUAAUAUUUGCUAAGGCUACUAACCUAAGCAUUAAUUAACUUGAUACACACAGUUAGACUAUUACCUAAUACCUUAAGCUUUUGGAUUAAAUUAGCAGUCUGUCAUGGUAUUAGAGCCUAUGUUACUAGAGGUCUUAGGUUCAUUCAAAGCCCAUUGCUCAUGUAUUCCUAUUAUUUGAACCCAUUGUGACAAGAGAUUGCAAAUGGGGCAGAUAUGGCCAUUAGCCUAAGUGUUAAUUGGUUUGAUACAUUUUUUUUUUUUUUUUGAUAGGUAAAAGAAAUUUCAUUAAAAGCCAAAGAGGCUAAAGAAAGAGUAUACACAGAGUAUACCAAGAUACAUAGGUGCAAAAGGCAAAAGGACAAACAAACUUGACCCUUACUUGAUAGCUAACCAGUCUACAAAAUCUAUCAAAGAGAAAGUGUGUUCCUCUAUAUACACCCUAGCCCAAUUCACAAAAGUGUACAAAAAGGUGGAUUUAAUUUCUUGGUUAUUCCUCUCAACAUCAUCGAAGGCCCUCCUAUUCCUUUCUUUCCAAAUGGUCCACAUCAAGUAGAAGGGGGCAGCUCUCCAAGCUUUCUCUCUUUUCUUGCCCACAAAGGAACCAUGCCAUCCCAGGAGGUUCCUUCUCACAGAGGAGUGCAUCACCCAUUGCACCCCAAAAAGGGAGAAGAUCAGAAGCCAUAACAUUCUGGCCUUCUCGCAACAAAAGAAGAUGAUCUGUGGUUUCCUCCUCAUUUUUACACAAAUAGCACUUGUUGGGGAUGCUCCAUCCAAAUCUCUUCAGGCGGUCGAUGGUGAGCAGCCUGCUCCAAGCCGCCUCCCAACCAAAGAAGCUAGCCCUAAUUGGAACCCAAGGCAUCCAAAUAGUUCUAGUCGGGAAGGGAAGUCUAAUGCCCCUUGAGAGGGAGCUAUAAAAAGACUUGACUGAAAAGGUCCCAUUCUUGUUCUUUUUCCACCGGAACAAGUCAUCCACAUCCCUUCUAAUGGUCAAAGGAUGAAGCUUGUUUAACAAGCUUUCUACUUCCCCCACCUCCCAAUCAUUUAGGUGUCUAUUAAAACGAAGACCCCAGCUAUCCCCAACUCCGUCUUCCUCCCAAGCCUCAGCAACCCAACCUUCUUUGUUGAUAGUUUGAUACAUAUAAUGACAUAUUACCUAAUAGCCUAAGUUUUUGGGAAAAAGUUGUAGCUUAACAAUCUGUAAUACAUAUAUGAGUUUGUAUACUCCAAAAAUUGAAAUUCUGUAAAACCGUUACAGAAGUAUACCUCAUCCAUCAUCCUUUUAAAAAGAGAAAGAACUUUGACAGGGUUAAGAAUAUCAACAACACUGAAUGAUGCCUUGGACUCUUUGGUGUGAGAAAUUGCUGAACUGCAUUCUUCCAAGCUUCCAUCAGCAAUUUUUGAACGAUCAUGGAUAAUUCCCAAAACAGAUACAGCCUUUUUCACAAUACCUGCAAUGCACGACAAAUAAAAGUAAUCAUUAUCAAACUGCAGUUUGAUAAAAGAAGGCCCUUAACAGAUGCAGAAAACAGAAAUCAUGCAUAGAGGGGAAAACAUUACCCACUUGUUAAAUUGCCAUGCAUAAAUACUGGACUAGUCAUAGAAUAACAUGUAACCAAGUUGCCAAAUAAAAUUUCACCACAUGUCAUAAAAAUCUAUUGCAUGGUUAGUGGUACACAAGAAGGUAAAUACCAAUGACAUGUUACAGUUGAGAAGACCUUUCAAAGCCCUUAGCCUUGAUUGGUGCAUCCUUUGUAGGAGAAGCUGAGAGAUGAUUGAUCAUCUCUUCUUACAUUGUCCGAUUACUUUGGGAUUGUGGCAUUAAAAUUUUCACAGGUUGGGAUGGAGUGGGUUCAGCUAGACAAUAUUUGUGAUAUGAUGGUGUUUCUUUCAAGUGUUUUGGGAAUUCCAUUAGAGGCAAGACUUUUUGGAGGAUUGUGUGUCUCUCUCUAUUGUGGAUUGUGUGGAAAAAGAAGAAUGUUAGGAUUUUCAAGGACAUUUGGAAGACACUAGAGAUGAUGUGGGACCAUUUCUAUGUUUCUUUUUUGGCUCACUGUACAAACAUUUUUAAACCCUAUCCUUUAAGUGUAAUUCAGCUUAGUUGGCUUUUGAUAUGUACACCCUAUGGUUGGGUUUAUAGGGUCAAGAGAUAUCAUACUUGUAUAAGCCUUUUGUACCUUUUGUAUAGCCUUCCUUGGUUAGUGAAGGUUUACUUAGUUCUUUCGAUCAGGUUUGUACAUCAUGGGGAGGAUUCCUCAUCCUUCUCAUGUUUCUUUUAAUUUUUAAUAUAUAUGUUUGGUUUAUGAUAAAAAUAAAAUUAAAAAUAAAAAUCUAUGGCGUAAAACGUGUGAUAAAAAGGAUGCCAUGUGGUGUUAAGCAUUUCAAAUGAAACAAAGCCAAGUAUUUGAUGCAAGAUAAAUAUAGUAAAUAAAAAAAUGUUAGGUCUUCAAACCAAAUAGUGUAAUAUGUCACGUGGGGCCUAGCGGUCUUCCGAAGAAAUAAAAAUAAAUGAACUAAUGUUGAUAAAUAACAUAUACAUAUCAAUUAGCUAAUUUUGAUAAUUAAAAAGAAGAUAAUUAUCACAUUAAUUGUAGUUAUCCCCAAAAAAUUAAGGGAUAAUUGAAUAAGUUUUCUCAAUCUCUAUAAAAUUAAUUAAAAAUUUUAAAUAAAUUAAAAAAAAAAAAAAAAAAAAAAAAAGCCCCUUUAGAUUUUUUUUUUUUUUUUUUUUUUUUUUAUCAGUAAGUAAUAUGUGUAUUCAAAAGAGAGGAGCCCCUUUAGAUUUCAAAUCACAACUUCAAGAUGGCCUUCAAGAUUUUGCAAAAUUCUUUGAAUUUCUUUGAGUUCUUCAAAACCUUUUAAGCAAUUCUAUAAAUUCUUCAAGAUUUGAACCCAAGUUUAAAGAUUCUUAAAGGCCAAGACUAAAAAUUCAAAGUUCUUCAAGAUGGCAUCUUUGAUCCAAAAUUAUGCAUUCGAGUUCUUAGAAUGGCAUUUUUGUUUUCCUAUAAAAGGGGAAUUAGGAAAUAUUAUAGAGUUUGUACACAUUACAUCUAAAAAUAAUAAAAUUACAUUUUAACACACAAUUUUCCAUUAAGCUAAAAUUUGUAUGUAGACCAUAAUGUCUAACUUCUCAUUUAUCCAAAUGAUUGUAAACCUCUAAAAAUAAGCCAAUGUAUGCUUCUCCUUUCCUUUUCUAUGGGCAAGAGGAAACCUUAUUCAGUAAACACACACAAAAAUAAAUAAAUAAAUAAAUAAAUAAAAAGAGAAGUCAUCCAAGUAUGUAGGUAGUAUAUGAACAACAAGCUGAAUGAAAAGGAAAAAAAUAAAUAAAUGCAUACUAGGCAUCUCCUGACCUAAUGAUGAAAUCCACCAAGGAAAAACUCCAAUCCUCAAAAAGAGUCCAUAAAACAUGCAAACAAGGAUUCAAGAUAAAUGUCUACAGUUUCAACUCUUUGAGCUCCACUCAUUCAUACUUAAAAGUUGUUAAGGUUCAAAGUCUUCCCAUCAACUAAAUCUUCAAGCAAGGCAAUGAUCCCAACUCUUUGACUAUAUCUAAACUAGCAAGCCCAGAGGAAGAUCUAACCAUGAUGCCUUCAUACCCUCUAGAAACACCUUGGGUUCUGGAAACAGUCAUUAAAGUUCAACUCAAGGUACUCUACAGGUGAGGAUUCCACAUUAUCCAUAUAUAUAUAUUCCAAAAUCUUAUUUGACUAUCAAAUAAAAAAUGGCCAUGCUCUCUCUUGAUAAUAGCAUUUGCUACUCUCUAAGCUAGCAUAUUCAAGCCCAAUGAAGCACCCAGAGUCCUCUGAAAUUAAUCCCUAAAAAGAAGUAAGUGAAUCAGAUCCCACAAGGACUCCCAAAGGUCUGUGAUAUUCUUAAACAUCCGAACAUUCUUUCCAACCAAAUCAAUAAUAAGGCAACAAACAUAACUCCCUCCUACAGCACUCUGCUCCUAGAACUUUUCCAAGGCCUUCAACGGAAAUAAUCAUAAUAUCUUUGACAGCUCUAAAUGCAACCCAAGAAAUAUCAGUCAACAUGAAUAAUCUCCCCAAUAAUCUCAAAUCAAUAUGGCAAACUUGGCAAUGAAGGAGAAAAAAUAAUCUUUCAUUCUGAUUCUGCCUAAGCAGAGAACGCAAAACUGAGGCUAAAGGCUCUAAAAAGCCCCUUAGUCUUAAACCUUUUUAUCAGCUGAAAGCCACACGAAGGUGGAAUUUAGGUGGAAUCAUAGUGUUACAAAUAAAUUUAGACCAAUGGAAUAUAACUGGAAAUUUGUUCCUAGACAAUGUAUGAAAGGACUUCAGAGAAAACCAUCCUUAAGGAACGAAAGGUCCAAACAUGUUUGUCAAGUCAAAAAGGGGAGAACAAAAGCAAGCAUGAGAAGGGAGGGACCACUGUUUUUUCAAUUAGUCAAAUUGCAGCAAAGUAUAAGUUAAGGAAACGAGAAAAGAGACUGGUUUAUAACAAAAUACGUAGAAACAAGAUAGAGACAAGUUUUGGAGUUCAAAGAGUGGAUUUUUCCACCACAAAUUCUCUCAAAGUCAAAUUUUGGAAUCAACACCAGUAAAAGAGAACCCAAUACAUUGUUGGAAAAUAAGAAAUCUUCUUCUUCUUCUUCUUUUUUUUUUCCGAUAGGUAUAAGAAAUCUUCUUAUUCACUCAUUGAAAAAACUAGUACAGAUAUAUAUAUACAACUUUCAAACUUGCACAAUAAAUCAAAACCAAAUAAUACAGCCGACUCACUCCUAAAAUUCUUCCUACAAAUCCUCUAAAUUACAACUCCCCUAAUUUACAUUGUCGACUAAUUUAAAUACACAUAUAAUCAGGAGUAAAUCAAAUAAACCUCAUGAAAUCAGGAACAAUUAUUGGAUUCCAAUAUACAUAACAUCAAAGAAACCCUUUUUGUGGGGACAGAAGUUCUUGGGUUUGUAGGGUAAUCCAUCUUGCCUUGUCAAUAUUUCAUACAGGUUUCAGUAUGGGAAGAAUUUCUUAAACCCAUUUAGCUUUGCACUAACAUCAGGUAUUGGAUUGCCUCAUCCCAAUUAUUAUGUUAUUUUAAUCCCAAUUAUGAUAUUAUUUUAUUAAAACAUCCUUCAAGCUAUAUAAAAUUACAAAAUUUCCAAUAUAAACCCAUUGCAUCCUAGGCCCCAACCAUGCUGCCAUGCCACAAGUAGCACCCCUUUCCUAAGUGCACACGACAAUUUUCAAGCUACACAGACAUGACGCAUUCCUCAGUGAACAAACCCUUAAAAACCUCAUCAUAAUCAUUUAAUCACACUCAUCAUCAAUUUUUUUCUCUCUAUUUGAUGUAUUCUCUGCUAUCAACCUUUGUUAUAUACAUAUAUAUACAUAUAGAUAUAGAUAUAUCAUUUUUCUUUUCUUUGAGAUUUCCCUUCACCAUCAAUUUGGUUGCAAAGAGAACUGUGGAAAAAAAAUUACCCUAAAUAAGCUGGAUAGUUGCUAAUGGAUCUUUUUUCUCUCAGUUCACAAUUUUCUUUACUUAUGCUUUCUGCCUUUUUCUGGAAACCAAACCAAGUCUGUGCAGCUCAGAAUAAAUAAUUAUUUUUAUCUCUCUUUUGCUCUAUUCCCCCCCCCCCCCCAACCUAUUUCUUUUCUAGUUUAAUGUAUUUGUANNNNNNNNNNNNNNNNNNNNNNNNNNNNNNNNNNNNNNNNNNNNNNNNNNNNNNNNNNNNNNNNNNNNNNNNNNNNNNNNNNNNNNNNNNNNNNNNNNUUUUUUUUUUUUUUUUUUUUUUUUUUCCCCCCCCCCCCCCCCCCCCCCCCUCCUCUCUCUCUCUCUCUUUUUCCCUCAUUUUCAAUGAACACACUUUUUUGUUCUUUUUUUUUCAUUUUUUUUAACAGAAAAUACCACAACGUGGCAACUAGCCGUUAGGAUACAGUCAAUAUAUGUUUUCUUCCUUGUGUGUGUCUCCCUUCCAAUCCUCAUAAUCAUUUUCUUUUCCUCUAAAAGUUCUUUAUUUUUUCUUGGAUGGUUUUGCCAGUAACCCCACCUAAACCUGAUAAACUUACUACUGUCAGUACAAAUCUGGGUGAAGGGUAGUUUACAAAAGAGUUCAAAAUACGUUAACCAUUGCCUCAAAAAAAAUAUAUAUAUAUUGAAUGAAUGUGAAAUACAAGACCCUACUACUGCCCAAUCAAAAUCACAGUUUGGAGAUUUUAUCAAAAGGAAAAAAAAAAAAAAAAAGGCUUCAGCAAAUUGGGAAAUGCAAUGAAAAGUGGAAAUCAAAGGACAUCUUGCAG